GAAUCCCACGCCUCCAAGAGAUCUUGAUGACUGCUGCAAAUGAUAUUAAGACGCCAGUUAUGACAUGCCCAUUGCAAAAGGGGAGAUCGAAGUGAGUCUUUAAUUGGUUGUUGUGAUAUACUUUUGCUCUUUCUUUUUGGGUGGGUAUGUUAGUAGACAACUGAACAUACUGUACAUUUAAUAUUUUGUUAUAAGUCUUUAAGUAACCUUGCAACAGUACGGAUUUAUUGUUUCAAAAUUUCAAAGAGAAUGCUCUGAGCUAUUGAAUAAUCUUAUUUUCACAUAAGGCUCUGGUUCAUAGUUAAAGUGAGGGUAGGGUUGAUGUAAGGGUUUAUUCUGCCUCAAUUGAAUGCAACUUUGCGUGCAAAGCUAUCCUUGCUGAUAACCAAUACCUAGUGUUUAUUGAUGUCCAAUUGCUUUUUUGUAAAUUCGCUCUCAAUGACAGAUCUUAUGUAUUUCAUAGUUUUAAAUAUUGCUAAACCCUGCUGAGCAUGUGUUAUCUGAUGUUUGUCCUCUAGUAUUUUGUUACUUGGACAUUUUAUGGAAUGUAGGGCCACCGUGUUUUUUGUUUAUAGACUUAGAAAUACUCUAUUUGUUAUAUGCAGGGAGGAAGCUCAGGAGCUAGCUGAUAAGUUGAAGAAGAUCACUGUGGCAGACAUAAUCGAGAGUAUGAAAGUAACCUUUGUGCCAUUUUUCAUUCAGGAUGGUCAAACUUGCCGUAUUUAUAAGCUUGAGAUGACACUCCACGUACCUGAACAUCUUCGAACCAUCAUUGAAUAUUCAUCAGAAGAUUGGGAGGAAAUCCUAGAGAUUGUGUUUGUUAGGGAGUUGGAAGAUGCCAUACAAAAUCAUAUUCUUUUGCUUUCUAAAAUUAGUGGUAUUAAAAAUUUCACGCCUGAUUCACAACCAAAGGCAUCAAAUGAGACAGAUGAAAAUCUUCCUGAAAAAAGAUCUCAACGUGAGGAAGAAGAUGAUGACAAUGGUGGUGCAGAUGAUGGUGAACAUGGUGAAGGGGUCGAGGAUUUUGGUCUGGAUGCCCAUAAGCGAAAGCUACAAGCUACAGAUGAGAUGGAUUAUGAAGAUGGCUGUGAUGAUGAAGUGAGAGAGGCAGACUUGUCAGAUGGAGAUGAAAGUGAAAUUGAUGAGGAGGAAAAUGAAGUUGAAAUUGGUAAGGAUGGUGAAAUUGGGGUCAUCGAUGCUAAUGAUGAAAUGCCUGGAAGUCCUUUAGAAGAAGCUGGGGACCUAGCUAAGCCCAAGUCAAAGGAGAAAAAGACCAAAUCAGGAUCCCAAAUUAGAAAGAAAAGGAAGGUCCGAGCAGAGAUGGUAAAAAAGGAGACUGACAGGGCAAUUUUUGUGUCAGCAAAAGGGUUCCACUUCGAGGUCCAUUUUAGAUUUGCCGACAAUGAACCUCAUAUUUUGCUGUCUCAGGUACUUUUAGUUUUACUCGUUGUCACACUUCUGCUCUUAUUUAUUUCCUUGGCAAGUUAGCCCACGCAUCACUCAGUAUUUCUCCUUCUUACAAGCUAUUAUGGGUCAGAAGCUUCAUAAAAAUAAAUAAAAACUAUAGGGAAAAUGAAAACAGCACAAUAAAAAGCACACCCAAAACCGCCGUUAACUUACGAGUAUAAUUAGAUUCAUGUGGCGUUUUAUAUUUUUGUUACUAUGCAGGUGUUCAUUAUAUAUUUUAUUACUAUACAUUCUCUUUCAGCCCUGUGUUGAGAAUUGUUUGAAUUAUGUUAUGUAGAUUGCUCAGAAGACAGCCCAGAAGGUUUAUAUUCAGAGAUCUGGAAAGGUUGCUGACUGUAAACAAAUUACAUGCGAUGAAAAUCAAGUCCUCUGCUUUGGGAAGGAUCCUGAAAAUAAACAAAGUUUUUCAUCCAAGGAAAAAAAGGAGAUGCCAGCUCUGCAAACUACUGGAAUUGAUUUCGGUACAUUUUGGCAACUGCAAGAUGUUCUUGAUGUCAGGUAUAUUUAUUCCAAUAACAUACAUGCUAUGCUGAACACUUACGGAGUAGAAGCCGCCAGGGAAACUAUCAUCCGAGAAAUAAAUAAUGUUUUCAAGUCUUACGGAAUAUCCGUCAACAUUAGGCAUCUUACACUAAUAGCUGACUUUAUGACUCAUGCUGGUGGUUAUCGUCCAUUGAAUCGAUUCGGAGGCAUCGUAGAGUCGAUAUCUCCGUUUAAUAAAAUGACUUUUGAGACAGCUUCCAAGUUCAUUGUUGAAGCAGCAUAUCAUGGGCAGGUGGAUCGCUUGGAAACCCCAUCCGCUAGGAUCUGUCUUGGAUUGCCAGUAAAUGUGGGUACUGGAUGUUUUGAUUUGAUGCACAAGAUGGAGGUUGAAUGCACACAGAGAUAGAGAUAUAUAUAUGAGAUUUUUACAUAUUUUGGGCCAAUUGCAGCCCUUUAUUUGUAUUUCACUUACAUGAGUUCUUUUUUCUUUUUUCUUUUUUCGUUAAGCAUGUAAUGUCCAAGGUCUGUUUUAAUAACGCAGGUCUGAUCAUUGCAAAUUGAUGAUAUUGACUGAGUUGAGUUAUCAACACCCAAUCACACUUUUAGGAAAAUGGCCAUUAAAACCCUGUGUGAAAGGACUCAAAUACCCAGAACUACAAACAAUGAUAUUUCUUAGACCUUUCAAUAACUAACUAAAAAUGUGAAGUUGAAAUUCUAUAGAAAAAGACUUUAAUGAUCAAAAUGGUCCCUUACUAUUGUUCCAAUAUCAUUUUGGUCCAUCAAUUAAAAUUUUCAUUUCAAUGGUCCUCAACUCUUCAUUUGGUAUCAAAAUGAUCCUACCGUCUCAGUUUCUGAAAUAUUCUGUUAAAUUGAGGGGCAAAAAAGUAAAAUAUUAUUUAAAAAAUUAAAAACUGAAAUGCCCAAAUAUCUAAAAUCCAAAAAAAUAAAAAUAAAAAUUCCACAAAAAAAUCUAACUCAAACCCAUCAGAGUCUUCUACCCAUUCACUCCGACUCAAAUCAAACCCAUGUUCGCCUCCUCGUCUCUCUACCACCAUCUCUUGCUGCUACUGCGAUUUCAAGUUCUGGGCUUUCAACCAAUCCUUCUUCCAUUUCGGCAGAACCCCCUCCCAAAUUCUCAUAGCAUGAUUAUUGUGAAGCAAAACGUAGGCUUGAUUGAAAGCAGUGAGUGAGUGCGAAUGGAGUAUGUUGUCGUGUUUGUUGCGUUUCUGUUUCCUGGUGCUCUGGUGGCUUUUGAUUCUGAGUCUCUGCAACCAUUGUCUUGCUUUGCUGCUGUUCGAAUUUAUUCUGCUGGAAUUUGGCACAAUGCAGUGGCAAGCUUACAUUUGUUUUCGUUAUUUAUUUAUUGAUGGAGAGUUAAUGUAUUUGCAAAAGGUAAUGCUAAUUAGCCUUCAAAUUUUAUUCACCUCAAGUGCUGUGCAAUUUGUGGGCUGCCAUUACUUAUCCUGCCCUUCACCUUGUUUCCAUUCUACAUACAUGGAGAGAGAGAGAGAGAGAGAGAGAGAGAGGCGAGGCUGCAGGUUAGUCAAAUCGGCGUGUGUGGUGGCUGGGUUUUUUUUGUGAGGGUUGUUAAUGAGGGUGGGACAGAUGGGGGGGUGAUGAGGGAAUUUGGGGUUUUUUUAUUUUUUGGUAAAGAGUCCAAUUUACCCCUAAAUUUGGAGCAUGUGCCGUCUACGUAAUUCACAUGAUCCAAUUUAAUGAAAAAUGUUACAGAAUGACCGUUUUGAUACAAAAUGAAGACUUGAAGUAUCGUUGAAAUGAAAAUUUUAGUUAGUGGACCAAAAUGAUACUUGAGCAAUAGUUGGGGGACCAUUUUGAUCAUUAAUCCAUAGAAAAAUGGUAGGAAAAAGACUCUUCUAAGUACACCAUCCUAACUUCCUAAUCUUAUCUGGUGAGUUAUGCAUGUCGUUAAAGUAAUGGCCUUUGAUUUCAUAUGUUUGAGCCUAGGGAUGGCAACAAGCGGGUAGGGGUCAGGUAUGGCAGUACCAUCUCUAUUCCUGUUUCCGCCCCCUUUUCCGGUAUGAUAUUUCGGGGAAUCCCCAUUCCCAUUCGCGUUGGGGGAUCAUAUCUCAAACCCGGCCCGAAUCCCCAAUUAUAUGUUUAAAAAAAUAUAAAACUAUCCAUAUUACACUUCAAUUUCACAUUAAACUAUCAUCUAACUCAAUUAAAUUCAAUUGAAUUAUAAAAUUUCACUCAACUACUCAAAUUCAACUCAAUUCAAUUUGACAAAAAUAAUAAAAUCAUAUAAUUUUCUUUGAGAAAAUGGGAUACAAAUUAGGGAGAUUCACUAUUAUACCAAAUAUAGAGGUCCAAAUUAUUUUUAAAAAAAACCUAUAUGAAAUGAACUUUAGAAACACACUCAAAGCUCAUUUACAACAUAAUAAAAAGAUUUUUAACUUCUUUUAAAUUACAAAAUUGUCAUUGAUUUCUUAAAACAAACUCAACCCCAAAAUCUCAUAAAAAAGCCCAAAACACUAAAUAGGGCAUUAAAGUAAUUUAAUAAUAAAAAUUAAAUUCAAUAGGGCCAAUUGUCAUUUUUUGGGUUUGUUUAUAGAAAUUAAAUGGUGUAGGAUUUAUUUAUAUUAUUAGUGCUAAGAAUGAGUAUAUGACUAAAUAUCUCUAAAAAGUAAUGGAACUAAUACAACAUAUUGUUUUCAUCGACAAUUCAUCAUCAAGAUGAAUGUCCUCACUCAAUGGAAAACAAAAAAAACUUGCGCAAGAAAAGGAUAUGUGGCUGUACAUACAGCUGUUACAUUACAACGGCAAUGCUACUUUAAUAGACUAAUCUAACUUAACUUAAUAUUUUGUCCAAAAAAAAAAACUUAACUUAAUAUUAUUUAAUUAUUUAUUUAUACAUUAAAACUUUUUAAUUGUUAUAUUAUAUUAUUUUAUAUAUAUUUAUUAAUUAAAAAUAAAUACAUCAUUUAUUGAGUCAGGUUCAGGAAUGGGGAUAACAAUAUCAUCCCGACUCGUCUCCGAUCGGGCAUUUUUAAAUUGGAGAUCCCUGUACUCAACACCCCACUCCCCCCCCCCCCCCCCCCCCCCCUCGAAAUCUCCUCUCAUUAGGGGCGAGGACCCGACGUGGAUUUCUAGCAUCCCUAUUUCUCCCUUUGCUUCCACACAAAAUAAGAAAUGGUCUUUUGCAUAAAUGGUUGGGAAUUAACAUUCUCAUCAUCUUUGGUAAAAUCAAGUCCACCAUGGAUUAUAAACUACUCUACUGUGUUUUUUAGUGUGUAACCCCAAUUUAGGUUUAAUAGUACAUCCCAAUAGGGGCGGCCAUACAUGUUCAAUUUAUCUCUCAACUUGGAUCCCAUGAGGCGGAUCUUGGAAAGUUUUAACAUAAGCAGGAGGGAUUCGCAAAUCCUCCAGAAAUAGAGUGGGCAGGGCCAUGAACCCUAACCAACUAGGGUAGAACUGUAAUUAUAUAAAGGAAAUUAUCAUCACAAGAUUAUAAGUAUUAGCUAAAUAAUUGUCUUCAUGUACGAAGUAGGGGUGGGCAUUCAAACCAGAAAAACCGGAAAAUCGAGUCGAAUGGACCAAAAAAAAAAGGAAAAAACCGAGUUAACAAAAAAUUGGACCGAGAUGACCAAAAACCGAACCAGACCAGUUUGGUCCGGUUCCAAUUCUUAUAGUGAAAAAAUCAGACCGAGUCAAACGGGAGCGGUUGUGUGUUUUUUUUAUAUACAAAAUUAUUUAAAUCAAAUGCUACUUUUUUUAAUCUCAUAACUAUUACUUCCCCAAGCCCAACUUCUAAACAUCUCUCUUUUCUAGGGCCAAUGUCUCUCUUUUUAUGAAAUUGGAUCAUUUGUUAAUUUUCAAGCCCAAAACAUAAAAUUUUAGUUGGAAUUUGUAUAAAGUAAUAAUAAUAAUAAUCCGGUUUAAAAUUAGAAAAAUAAAAAAUUGAACCAGACCAACCGGUUUUAAUUUUUUGUUCAUUAAAAUUGGACCAAACCAAACCAGUUAAAUAGUACCGUUUUCGAUUUUAAUUUAAGAUAAAAACUGGACCGAAUCGGACCUCGCCCAGCGGGUACAAAGGGUGCCGUGGUGCUUGUGGCUUUAGACUGGUAUCAGAAAUGCUACAUUGUGUCUGCACUAACACACAAAUAUAUAUUCUUGUCGAAAUUACAUUCUUAUUCACUUAAAGCCAAAACCCCCAAAAACUCACCUUAUUUUAAAGGGAAAAACCCUUUUUUUUUUCACCUCAAAGAAAAGGGUUGCAAAUGAUGAAGCACCAAAUACAGAGAUAAAAUGGGAAUUGGGAAGAAACCCCAAAAAGUCUACUGUAUCAUUUUCCCCCCACCACUUAGUACAAGCAGAAUGAAAGCCAAGAAAGCCAAGUUUUGGAUUAUACAGCAGUACUGUUAUUACAAACCAUUCAAUGAGAUUACAAUAAGAAACAUUGCUCACGAGUUACAAUAAACAAUAAACAGUGCAGGCAUAGCUGAUCUCACUUGUUCAGUACUGUAUGGCUGCUAUUACAGGGCACGAUAUAAUUUGUGGAUUUAACAAAGUGCCGAGGAAUUAUGAAGAAAGUAGUAUACUUUUUUAUUUUGGUUACAAAAGUAAUACACAUAAUGCACAUUAGGCGGAAAAUAUCUCUAUGGGGAACCUGAAAUAGGAUAUGUAGCACCCCCAUAUUUUUAUAAAAUUCCAUUAUAAACAAUAAUGUAAUUGUGUGUGCGCGCACACAUAUACACACGAGGCAGACAUGCAUGUAGAUGAGCCAAGGACGAUUCUGGUUCAGGAUGAAGAAGGUUCAGCUCCAUCAUGAAGUGCACAACAAAUGGUUGCUUUGUGAUGCCCCUGAUACACCCUGAUAUCUUCACCAGUGGACAUGGACCAAAGUCUUGCUGUUGUAUCUGAGGAAGCUGCAUGGAUAAUUGAUAAAUUGUUCAAUCUGUUAUCAGUAUCACUAUUUUUCAAAGAAAAAUUAGAGAGAAGAAAACUAAGAAUCUGAAUGUUAAUUUAUCGCACAAGUUUGACUACUGCAUUAGUUUACGAACUUGACAGAAAAAGGAUAGGGUGCUGCCAUAUCCCAAUUUACAAAAUGACAUUUUAUAGAUUAAGGUUUAGAACUCCUAGUGAAAAUCCUCAAUUGUCAAGUGUCCAUCGUUAUCUACAAGCUGCUUCAGAAGACAUGGGUUCAUUUAAAAUCGUCAGUUGUUGAGAACUAUUACCUGUUAUAAGAUAGGCACCAUCUACUGAGAAAACACAGUCCCAUACCCACCGCUGAUGUCCUACGAAGUAAAGAAACAGUAAAGAUUAAUUUAUCAUAUAGCUUGGUUUUAAGAAGCAAUCAGGCGUAUUGAGUAAUUUGUAAACUAAAAUGAGCACCUUUAAUGGUAUAGCAGAUAAUUACCUACUAGAGUUUUCUCUAAUGUGAAACCAUCAACAUUCCAUAUCUUGACAGUGUGGUCAGAAGAGGCGGUCGCCAGAUAUCUAGAAGUACAAAGACAGGUUAAGCCAACAAGUGACAAAAUCAAUAUACUGGCUGCUAGCAACAGAAGGCAAAAAUAAAAUAGUAGAUAUUGUUUGAACCAAAAAAGAAAGUUAUAGUAAAAGGCAAAAGUUUAUUGACCUAGAGAGAAUACCAGGUAGGAAAUGAAGGCGAAAUAAAACAAUAGAUUUGACCCUAAAUGAAAGGUAGAAAGAAAAGGUUAUCAGCUUUGAUGGAUCAAACCUGUGGGGUUCACAGAAUUCAGGUGAAAGAAGACAUUUGAGGAUGUAUCCCUUGUGUGCUUGCAGCUUAUGAAGUGGCUCAAAAUUUGUCAUAGUCUGGAAGAAAAAGUACUUGGCGUCAAAAUGAAUGAAGUAUGAUAAGAAGGUGAAAUCAGAUAAUCGAGUGCAUAAAGGUACUACCUGGGUUCCCCGCAACAAGCGCCAAACAUAGCAUGUACCAUGAUUAUUUGCUGCAACAACCAGGCUCCCAUCCCACAUCACUGUUAAUGACCUUACAGCCGUAUCCACCUCUGGAACCUAGAUUCACCCCAUAGAUUGAUAUUAAAUGUACCAUUCUGUAAAUUACCAUCCAAAAGAACCGUUAAAUUUACACAUCACUGUUAAUGACUUCACAUUCUUAUCCUCAGUAAUUACCAUCCAAAAAUCCCCUUCCCAUCUACCAUCUAUUCCUGCAUAUUGAACACCGCAGUGUUUUUGUUUUUCAAAUUUAUUUUCUAUUUAAGAUGGGUUGUUAUUGUUAAACACAGCGCAACAUAUGCGCACGAGUCUAGUAAAGACUUUGCCCACUUAGAUCUUCAUUUCACCUAAAAAAAUACCAAGGCUUUUAAAAAAGAUUGCUGUUUAGACAACACGGUUCCUAAUGAGACCUAGUGCAAGAUGAAAACGGGGACGAAACCUCCCCCAAAAUCACCACUUUAGAUUUGCAAUUUUGAUCAUAGCAGUAAUAAAAGGUGUAUAUGAAGUACAUAAGUGCAAGACAGCGAAGCAUACCAGUUCGCAGCUGCAUGAAUUUGCUGUCAAAUCCCAAACACGAAUAUUGCCAUUUUGGUCCCCAGAUAUCAGUUCAGUCUGUAAAACCACAUACAGAUUUAAAGAUUAGAAAAACAAUUGAAACCAUUAUGGCAUGCAAGCUCUUCCUUCUUCUUUCAUUUUUCUCAAGGGCAUAAAAUUGACAAUUAAGAGAACAAGAAUGAAUAUGAAACAACAACUCUGACUUAAAAAUUGGACUUGAACAAAACCCAUGGAAACAUCAUUGCAACAGAAUACAGAUGGCCACUGGCUCACUACAUCAACUUAAGACCUUUUAGCAAACACUAUCUCUAUAUAAACAAUUUGAUGAGCCAAAACUCUGUACAUGGUCAAUGUACGGUGAUUAUGGGAAAGUUCACUCUCAUAAGAUAGUUACCCAGAUAUGACAAUGGGCUGUAUGGAAAACUGCAUGCAUGUUCCAACUUCCAUCCAGUUCAACAUCAUACUUGAACAGUCUAAUGUAAGUAGGAGCUCACAUAUGCCAGCAUGAUGCUUUCCUUCUUGUUUUUUUUCCUCCCUACUCUCUUUUGGGAAAGCCAUUUGGCACUCUCUAAGCUUACCAGACACAAAACCAAAAUCGUCUACGAAGAUUAUCAUAUAUUUUCAAGAAAAAAAAACACAUACAAUUACAUUAUCAUGAAAGUCAAUGUUAUCUAUAUCCUUCUUAAUAACUUGAGCAGUUAUGAAGAUACUACAACCUAAUAACAUUUUUACCUAACGUAUAUAUUCCAUAGCAGAAAGGGACGAGACAAUAGUUUACCUGAUUUGGGUGCAGCACAACAGUGUUAACAGCUGCACGGCUUUCAUAUUCCCGUUGACAACCUGGAGCUCUGUGAUUAACUCAACAUAUAAGAAAAACAAACUAUAUACAAAAUAUGAACAAGACUUAAUAAAAGAAAAAUAGAUAGCACAACCAGCAUGAUGAGGACAUCUUUGUAGGGUUCACAAACGAAAGAGAUGGAAGAGGGAAUUAUUAAUUAGUUUCCUAAUGUAUUUGUUAGUUCCUAGGUUCUCUAAGUUUUCCAGAUUUCUUUCCUAGAAUAAGUUUGAUUUUCCUUUUCACUCUAGGGUUAGAUUAUUAUAAAUACCCCUUCUAUGUAAUUCAUUAUGGAGUUGAGUUGUUGAGAUAUAAAGAAAAGUUUAUUUUCCAGAGAUUGGAGACUACUUGGUGUGAAGCCAUACCCUUGGCGUGAUUCCAGACCUAUCCUUGUUCAUUCUAUUUUCUGUUUUCCAUGGUUUUCGCUUCCGCUAAACUACCUAAAUUCUCAAUUCACCCAUAUCCUACAUCACAGCAUACGUGUGUUGUCAACAAUUACCUCAAAUCCCAAAUUUUUACUGUACCAUCCUCAGAACCUGAAUACAUCCAGUUUCCAUCACAUUGAAAUCCCACUGCCAUUACAUUAUUAGUAUGUGAAUCAUAGCUCAUCACCUGCCAGACAAUUAUACCAAAAGGAUGCUCAUGAGUUGAUGGAAGAAGAACAAAUGAUCAUGAAAGUCCCCAUCUAAAUUCAACAAAAACUAAAGCAAACCUAAGAGUGAGAAAGACAAACCGGUUGAGGGCUGUUUGAAUUAACAUCAAAUAAUCGAAUGUGAGGAUUGCCGGCUGCAGCCAGGAAGCGUUUAUCUGGAGUAAUCUCGAGCCUAUUAACUUGCUGUGCUCAUGAAAAAUGGAAAAAUCAGACAAAUGAAUUAAAUAAACAAUAAGUAAACCCACCAGGAAGUUUUCCAAUCUUUUCAGAAAACAUAAUCAAGCAACUAUGAACUAAAAGAAACUCAAUGACCACCUAACAAAAGAAACCAUUCCACUCCACCAAUCUCAAAUCCUCUCAAUGCCAACUAAUUGGCUUACCUCAGUUGGAUUCUAUCAUUUGAAAACAAAACCAACAUCUCAAUAAACUCCAAAAUCCAAAAUUUACAACGACACACACACAAAGAUAAUUUCUUUCUUUAAAAAUUGAAAAGUGGGAAGUGAGAGACAUACUGAAUCAGGGUAUUGGAUGGUACGAUAGCAGCGGCCACUUUUGGCCUCCCAAAACCGAAUAGUGUGGUCAUAGCUAGCCGUUGCUAGGAUCACCGAUGGUUGCUGGCUCAUCUUAAUCUCCUCCUAAUCAAUAUUAACACAACUACUUAAAACAGACAUAACAUAAUCAACCACAGCCUAAUUGGAAUUCUUAUACAACUCUGAGAUUUAAAAAAAAAAGAAAAAAAAGAAAAAAAAAAGAAUUGGGUUGAGGUUGAGGAUGAUUUACCUAUUCAUAAAAUUAAACAAAAAAAGACGUUAAAUUUAGGUUGGUAAUGGUGGGAAAUUGAUGGGCAAUAGUGUAAUUGGGAAUUAGGGUUUUGAAGAGGGUUUUGGAGGGGAGAGAGCUCCAUGGAAAGCAGAAAGCACUGACCUGAGUGGGCAUCUUCUGGGCCUCAGUCAGAGAAAUGAAAUCAUCAUGGGCUUUCCCCGUGUUGGGUUUCUUUUGGGACUUAGAGCAAAUCCCACGAGGCACUUUUUAGGUUCAGAAAAAAAAGCUGAAACUUACUCCAACUAAAAUGUUAAAUCCAAAGUGGAAUAACAUUUCCCUGUUUUGCUGUUAUUUUUGGAUGUUUGACUAUUUCAUUAUUUUAUUAUUAUUUUUUAAUUAAUGUGCCUAGAUUUAUACUUAUUUUGAAUUUCUAAUUUCCGAACACAUAGGAAUUAGAGCAAACUUCUGGUGUUUAAUGAAUAAAAAAUUAUGUUGGUUACACAUUUGUAAUCCACAGUUAUUGAUCUCAUCCAGUCCUUGCCUCUCUUAAUUUUCGAUUUUGCGAUUCAUGACUUCUCUCAUUUCAAGUAAACAUGUCAUUAACUUGUUUUGUUUUGAGCUUGGUUUACCAACUUGUGGAAAGUAGUUCUAGUUACCGGCAACGGCAAUGGCAUGAAGGAAAGAAAGGGAGAAAUAUAUGUAAUUCAUAAGACUCAAAUGACUGAAAACCAAUAGGUAUUUUGCUAGGGUUGGAACUUGUGCAAAUGAAACAAACAGUUGGUUGCCAACUUGCCAACCAUGAACUACUAGGAUUCCAAUAAGAUCAAAGUUCAAAUUUCCGUAAAAAUGCAAAAAGAGAUUGAAAUUUUGAAAAAAAAAAGGGGGGAUAUCCAUUAAAAUCCUCAUAAUCACAGUGAGAGGACAUUUGGUAAAAUCUCCAUCUUUUAUUCAAUGACUAUUAAUUCAAAAUGCAAUGCGACGCAUAUACUUUUUUUUUUCUUUUUUUUUUUCUGAUUGCUGCAAGAUAUGCCAUGUUAUAUUGAAGCUUAACCUGUCAUUGUGAAUCAAUGAGGUGCUUGGCAGGGCUCUGGACGGAAACAAAGCAAAAUCAAUUGGAGUCCGUAUGGAGGGGUCUCAAGUCCCCAAAAUAAUAAUAAUCAACCUCAUCAUUCAUUCACAGCCACACAUAAAUUUUGUUGUUGGAUUUGAUUGGAGAGAUAGAGAAGGAGGGGGGCUGGGGUCAAAUUUUACCCCAAUGCUCCAAGUGCCUCUUUGUACAAUUUCUUGUGCAGGCCAUAAUGAGUGGACCUUCAAGUUGUUAACAGAAAAAUGAAAGAGAUGGGCCCAUUAAUUAUAAUGAUAGCUCAGCCAGUACGUAUUUAUAGACCAGAAAACUGAUCAGCCCCUGUGAAUGAUGAAUCUGUGAUGGCUACAUAAGCCUGCAGAAGUAUGAGUACCACUAAUGAGUUCAGGCUUGAGAAAGAGAUGGAGAGAGGGCUGGAAUAUUGAAGCAAGGUAUUUGAUGAUGUAUGAUGUCAUAUCUUUAUGUGAAUAGUAGGGUUCAAUCAUUAACUUCAUAAAUGCUGUCUUUGUCACUUUGUUGAUGGAUCUCAAGAUAACAUCCAGUUUUUCCCAAUGGAGGAAUUAAAGGAGUUACUUCGAACACUUUGGUUGAAAAUACUGGAUCAACUUUGCUUCUUUCAUGUUAAGCCACUGAGCAGGGACUGGACUGGAGGUUACUGCCUGCAAUGGAUUUGGUGAGAGUCCUGGUGAGGGACAAAAUGCGUAUGCGCUUGUAGGUUCCACUGCUGGUGGGAUUGGGUCGUGUUGAGGUAUUAAAAGAUUCAGAGAUCUCCAAUUCCAACUUGACUCGUUUAUCAAACAAAAAACAUGAUAUAUCAAUUCCUCCACUUAUAUAUAAUAAGAAAAUCAUGAUAAUAUUGAGAACAUUCUACAAAAAGCAAAUUUAUGUAUACAAUUUUAGCCCUACAAAAAUUUAAAUUAAUAUAACUAAAUGAGUUACAUGAAUUUGACUCGACAUGGAAACUUCAAGCUAGUUAAUUUCGAGCGUGUUCAUUUUGUGUUGGCUAGUUGAUUCAAAACCCGUUUAUUUAUUAAUCUUGUCUUGGCAAAUUGACUUGAAUAUGAUUCAAAGCUUUUCAUAAUAUAGGUUAACCCCCAUAAUUUUGUGUGAGUUUCAAAGUCUAUAACAGUGUUUGUGUCGUUACAAUUAUGUUUCAUGUCAAACCCUAACAAAUUAGGCGGGCCAGUGAGCAUGGUUUGACAUAGGAGUGAAGCGAAGAAAAUAUGUUUCGGAUUGGCUAGGAUUGUGAAUACUUUAGUUAGGUGAAAUUUUGACCCCACUAAGCUAUUCAUAACCUUAACCUCUCCAUAAAGAGCCAUGACCACCUCAUGCCUGCAUGGCUACCUCACUAUUUAGGCCAAUAGCUAGCUUGGUAAUAGAAUCUAGAUAGAUGGCGCUGCCAUGGUUGAUAGGCAAUAGUGGAGGCUUGUAGUUUUAAACAGAACAAAUGAACACAAAUGAGUUGUUUGGGCUGCAGCAGAAUUUGACUGGGCCGGUCUCCGUCGUGAAUUUGACUAGCCUGCAGCAGAAUUCAACUGAGUUUUUUCCCAUGGUCACAUGCAUGUCACAAACCUUGUCAUAAUCUUAUUUGAAAAUAUUAUUUUUCUUAAACUUGUAACCCUCAAAACGAAUUGAUGAGAAUUGAAUUGAAUUAAAUUAACAUUAACAUCUGCAAAUAGUCCAUCGAUCUCUAUGUUUAUAGGGAUUUGCGAUUGCAGGACAGAAAUGUUUGGAAGCCACAAAACAAGACAUGGACAUGGAAACUCAAAGUAGACUUAUAUAUGUCUUACAAUUACAAUGCAACACACACACACACUCGUGCUGUCUUGGAAACAUAAAAUAUUUAAAGGAUAGCAUGGGAUCUCUGGUCAAACACACUGCUGCAGACAGGCUCUUUUUGCUAAACGUUAGAUUUUGUUCUGUUCAUUUUUAAAUAUAAUUUUCUUAUUUAUAUUUUUGGCUUUCUCAAAACCCUAUCCAUAUUUCAUUUUACUUAGCUGCAUGGGUUUGAAAUUCUCAUGUACAGUAUUUUACCAUGGAAAUAUAUUAUUGCAAUCCCACAUGCACAUGGUGUUUCCCCCACCACCCCCCACUUCAUGUUCUCUAUGCAUGUGCUGAAAUUGUGCUCAAAUGUUGGUUUUCCUCAAGGGCCUCCUGCUUUCUUUCUGAUUUCCAAAGAAUUUUAAAUUGUCAUCAAGGUACCAAUAAUCUAGGGGCUUUGAAACUUUUCAGUUUGGUAAGGUAGAGAAAGAUAAUUAAUACAAGCUGAGAAGAGAGAGAGAGAGAGAGAGAGAGAGAGAGGAGUAUAAUUUGUUGCAAGAUAAUAAAAACUUGCUUUUUGUUUGUUUUCUUUCUCAUAUAUGGUCCACAGAGUACACUGAAAGUCUGAAAUAAUUUAAUGGUGCUGUAGAAAAUUAACUAUAUGAACACUAAUGGGUAAUAGCUAGGUAUAUUAUUUAUUAUUUUAAGAUGGUUAUUUUUUUUUUGUAGUUUUCGUUAAACAAGAUUUGGGGAGAAACCAAAUUUAGCCCAUAUAAAAAAGAGACUAGUUUAUAAUUCUACCCCACAAAUAUAUAUAUGUUUCUUCUGGUGAAAUAUACUUAAAACUGAUGUGACAAAUUUACAAGCUGUUGUGCAUGCAUGUGUUGUGAAUCAAUCAUUUGUACAAGUAUUGUCAUCCUUUUAUGCAAAUGGAAGUGACUUUGCUUUAAGCAAAAGGAGAACGUCCCAACCAAAUAAAGGAAAAGGGGAGAGCGAUUUUCUUUGUUUUUAUGUUUGGAUAUGAUUGAAUUCAAUAGUUAGGUUCAAACCCAUACCCAUUGAGUUAAUAAUAGAAUUUUUGUGAAGUUACGGUUCUUUAGUUUACCACGUUACGUGCACCAUAUCGACAUAUUAUGUACGGCAUCUGAUACAUCUAAUAAUAUUUUAAUUAUUAAUUAGGCAGUUAGAAUUUAAUUGUUAAGGGUCGGAUUCUCCGUUAUUGGUUGUAAGAGGUUAGCAUUGUCCAAUACUAGUUCAAGGCCUUUAUAGCUUGCUAUUGAUUUAUAGAUCUCUUCUUGUCAAAUUAGAAAGUGAGGUUUGGGUUAUUGCUAAAGAACUUUUAGGUUUAAUUUUUCCGAACUGUGACCACAUAGGCAAUCUAGUCAUGAGAUCAAUUAUGUACUUAAGAUAAUCAAAUUUGUGAACUACACAUUUAGGAUACUUGAUUCAUUUAUUUGUGAUCUCCAAUUAAACCUCAACCCCUUUUAUUAUGUCUAUUCCUUUUUGCCUAUAUACAUUAUGGCAAAGGCAAAUUCCACACAUCUCUCAACCUAAUAUCCAGUAAGUGAUAAAAAAAAAGACCCCACAACAUAAAAGCAUUAGCAUUGACUCUCUCUCUCUCUCUCUCUCUUUCUUUCUCCGCAUUAAGAGGUGAAGUGGGUGGCAAUGCUGGUUAGCUUUGCAGCAAGCCCACAAGAUGUAGUCAGUAUUUAUGUGUUGGACGUACUUUGUUUGUGAGAACUGAUCACUGCACGGCAAUCAGGCAUUUCCUCUUUCCUUCUCACCCAUUUCUAAUACAAAUCACUGUUUUUUUUGGGGGGGUCUGAUACAAGUACUGUAUAUACACAGUGGACAAUACAGUCAGGUAGGGCCUCUAUAGAUAAGCCUGUCGCACGUCUUUGGUUCUGGUCUGGCUACUCUACUCUUUAGAAUUCACCCUUGAUAAUGAAAUUAAGUUGAAUGUAACAUUGGGAUUAGUAGUUAACAUGUUGAUUACUUGAUCAAGAGGAUUUAUAUGUUAAAGAUAUUCCUACACAUUUCAUAUCAACAAAAUUGGGAAAUUGAUCAUUUGAGCUUCAAUUGACAAAUGCUGUGUAUCUCAAGCUAGUUUACAGAUGUAGACAGUAUUAGAGCCGCCUCACCUUGUUGGUUAGCUUGAUAAUCUCUAUGGUCGAGGACGUCAUGAAAUUAGAAUUUUAAUAUCAUGCCAGACAAUCAAUACAUUAUGUUUUUUUUCUUCUUUUUAUUAAAGAAAUAUAGUAGCAGAAAUUGUAAUUUGGAUUAGAUAACUUGAACUAUCUUCUAACAUUAAUAAUACAAAUAUCACCGAACAUUAGGAAUACAAAUAUUACCGAACUAAUAGUUAGUUGGUACAUACACAUACCAUUGUUUACAUGUGCAAGAUUAGGAUGAUCCAAUUUGUCCUAUGCUAUAAAAAUUACAAUUACUCAUCCAACCAAAAAACUCUCAAUUAUAUAUAGGAUUCUUGCAAGAGUUUUAUAUAUGUAUUGUCUGCUAUUUAAGAAGGAAAGCAUUGAUAAGCAAAGAUGAUUUGACUAAUCCUAGUUAGAUUUACAGUGCGAUCAAAGCCUCCCGAGUGAGACACAAACAUAUGAUAUAUGGGUAUCUUAUGGGUUGACAUGCCACAGAGUAUAGUAGAAGAUGCCUGCUGUCCUAGCAACAUGAAUUUUUCUUACCAUUUUUUUCAUCUCAAUUUUUGAGACCUAAUUAAAUUUAUAAGUUGGGGCUGGUCUAUCUUUUGGACGAGUAAAACAAAAGCACAGCUGUUGUGUGGACCAAAGGUAAAAUCUAGGCACAUUGUUGUACUUCUGAGAGGAUCUGACAAUAUUAGUUGAAUUCAAUUAGCUAGAGAGAAUUAUUGUUAAUUAUUUGAAUUAGAGAGAGAGAGAGAGAGAGAGAGAGAGAGAGAGAGAGAGAGAGAGAGAGAGAGAGAGAGAGAGAGAGAGAGAGAGAGGGAGAGAGAGAGAGAGAGAGCAGUGAUGACCUUCAUUUUUAAUGAAAUAGGGUAUAUGUGUACAAUUAUGCAUUCUGCACAGUGUGAAAAUUGGGACAAAUCCUCUCAGUUGGCUGAGCCGACCACUGCUCAAAAACCAAUGGAAAUGUUGGGGGCUUUCACCCAAACUACUUGCUUCUUGUCCAUGAUGUAUUUAUAGCAUGAAAUAAAAAAUAAGACAACGAGGGACAUACAGUCUGCCCAACUUAGAAUUUAAACAUCUCACAACUUUGCAAAUUGCAUUCAUAUCUGUUCUUAUAACCGAAAAUUAGGGGUGGGCAUCAAUUCAGCCGAAUCGAUGAAAUUGACCGAAUCAAUCCGUAAUUAUUGAUUUGGUUUGGUUUUAACUAAGAAAAAGUCAAACGGUUUAAAAACCGAAAUGGACUGUAUAUGGUUUGAUUUGAUUUUGAGUUUUUAUAAACCAACCUAAACUAAACCGGACCGUUUAUGUGUAUAUUUAUUUAUUUAUACUAUAGUUUACAUGUGUAAUACUCUAAUUAGGUAAUAACUAUAUAUUAAAAUUUGAUUUGAGCUACAUUAGUUAUUGAAAUUUGAAGUUUUAUGACAGGUUGAGUUUUAGGAUGGUUUCGUACUCUAGAAAAUGAUUUAAAUAUGGAGCAAGUUGUGAAUUUGUUGAUUGUAAUUGGGCUAACAAUGUUUAAAUUGGUUUGUUUGAUUUAGUCUCCUUCAUGACUUUGUCAAAAUUGAACCGAACCAAACUGUUAUAUUGUAAUUGGUUCGGUUGUGCUUUUGAGGUGAAACCGAUUCAAUCCGGACCGUGCCCACCUCUACCGAAAACAAGAUCUUUGAAGCCUCUCACUAUUUUUUUUUUUAAUCAAUGGAGGUUGGGGGUUUCGAACUUAGGGCCUCUUCAAUAUUGGGAAGAGAAAUUUCACUAGACCAAGAUUUAGUUGAUCUUCUCACUAUUUUACUACUAUUUUUGAGAAAAGUAUUAUGUCUAUCCUAUAUAAAGCAAAAGUUCUUUAUCUUUAUGAUUAAAUUUUUAAUUACUAUCAUUUAGUAAGGGCUUAUAGCUCAAGUAGUUGAUAGCAUUUACCCAUGUACUCAAGGUUUUAAGUUUCAUUCUCCGUCCCCCAAUAUCGCUAGUAUAAAAAAUAAAAAAAAAAUCAUCCUUUAAGAAAAAAAAAUUCAAAACACAAUUACUUCAUUUUAAGGAGGACAAUACACAAAACAAUAAUAUAUUAAAAUGCACAAGUCGCAUCCUUGAAGGCUGAAGUUGCAGAAUUGCAUAAGCUCAUCAAACAAUCAAACCGAAAAAAUCAAGACUUUGUUGAACUGGUGCAAGUUUUACAAACACGUGUAAAGACUCGUAGGUUAUAGUUUUAUUGAUGAAUAUAAUGCUUUUAAAGACUCGUAGAGUACCACUUUUGUAAUUUUAUUUAUUUUGUUGUUGGCAUGUUUGAUUAAAAUCAUUUGUAAUCAUAAGUUAUAUUUUAUUAUGUCAUAUCACAAUUGAAACCCCAAGAAAACAGAGAAUUUAAAAGAGAAAAAAUAGAUAAGAAAAAAAAGGAAAACUCUAAUUUUUUUAAGAACAUUUACACUAUGACCCAUUGGGUUACGGAUCCUAGAUCAGUCAUUGCACACGGCUUUAACCAAAAAAUAUGGCCCCUACCUCUGUGAGAUAUGAAGAAUGCAAAUAAUCAUUCCUUUCCUUUAUCGCCAAACUUUUCUCUCUAUCUCAAAACUUAUAUAUGCAAAAAAUGAUUAACACACUCGUGUGUACCUUUAUCUUAUCAUAGAGUUUUCCUCUCACGAUUUGAUUGGGAGCAACCAUAUCUUCCCUCUCAUUUCUCUCUUUCUAACGACAGAGGGUGAAUUGAACAAAAUGAGAUAAUAAUAAUAAAUAAAAACUAGCUCUAAUGGUUUUAGACCAUAAACCUUUUCUUCAUAUUAGAUGAGAAUACCAAAAAGAAAAAAAAGAAAGGAAGAAACUUGGACAAAGUCCAUAGCUAUUGCUCCACUGGUGAGUCGUCACCAUCGCCACUUCAUCCAACACUUCCACAUGGAUCACAAAAUGUACAAUCUACUACACAUGACCUCCACAAUGUCAUUUAAAACUAGCAAAGUUGUUGAUACAUAGAUGAGCCUUAUUAAGAGACAAUCUAUGUCGAAGCUUCUUCAUCUUUCUUAACUGCAUCUCUUAUUGCAACACCAUCUACACCAUUAAAGCUACUGACCCGCGAUCUACAAAACGCAAAGGAUAAUGUCCCAACCAAUUGCCGAAAAUUGUCCAAUAUGACAUCAAAAUCUUUCCCGUGUAUACCAAAGUUUAUUGUCGGCACUAAGAGUAUUGCGUUGAGCUAUUGACACCCAAUAAUAGUCAGUUUUCUUUGUUGAGGUAGGUAACUAUGACAAGAAGCUUGUCACAUUGAAGAAACUAAAGAAAUCAACAUAGUGUGAUUUAUUAAUUCAAGGUGAAAUUGCUACACUAGACAAGAAACACGACGAACACAAAGUCACAAUGCUGUCUUUGCCGCUAAAAUUUCGAAAUAUCUCUAUCUAGCCAUCAACUUUGUGAUGCAAUAAUUUCAACUCAAACCAAAGAACUCUAAUCCUUGUAGGCUAGACAACUGUUUCCAUUCAACCACGACAUAUGAGCAACAUGUCGAUGACAUAAUCUCACCUUUUCCUAGCAUGGUUGAGGAUGUUCACAAUAUCUCCUUAUGGUAUAUCCACAAUUAAUGGAAUAGGUUGUCCAAAUCUAUUUACUCCAAAAAGUUUUCAAGCCACUUACUUCUCUUGAUAUUGUAGUGCUCUAUUGAACAUGCUCCAUGCCCUGAAUAUUCCUGAAGCUUCAAGGUCAUCGUCCUCUUCUUAGAAAUUGCCUUUUGGUAGUCUCCUGGAAUUUAUCUAGUUCCUUGUGUUAGUAGUGAAGAUCCAGAGCCAAUUUUCUUGAUAUAAAAGGAAUCACUUGGGAAGGGGGGGGUGGACCAUGGGAGGCUUUCACCUACCUAAGCGAAGCCAUGCUACAAAUGAGUGUAAUUUUGAGGAUUCUAAUACACCACACCAAAAUUUUCUUUGGGGAAUGAACCUAAGGUAAUUACAACACCCAAUCCUUUUUUUGGGAAUGGUAGCUUCAAAGACAAAUUAAUAAAUAAAGUCAAUUUUACUAAGAGUGUGGGUAUUAAGGUCAAUUUCCUAGAUGCUGAUUAUGAAGAUUUGAAUGAUGAUGAGGAUGUUAUGAUCUCUCAAAAAAAGCAUCGUCCGAGUAUUCAAUUCUUAGAUCAAGCCAUGAAUCGUCUCUAUCAACCAUGGAAGAAUGCUUUGAUGGUCAAACUUCUUAGGAGGUCUCACACAUAUAACUAUCUUCAAGCUCAGCUGCAGCAAAAGUGAAAACUUAAAAGUAAUUGGAAGCUUGUUGAUAUGGUAAUUCUGUGGUGAAGUUUGACUCGGAGGACUUUAAUUUUGUAUUGACCGGAGGACCCUGGAUUAUUGCGGGUCAGUACCUGAUUAUGCAAAAAUGAAGGCCUGGGUUUAACCCAGCAACUGCUCAGAUUGUAAACAUGGCAGCUUAAAUUCGUGUUUCAGGUAACCAACUGGAAUGCUUUGAUGUUUGGGCCCUUAAAAAGAAUUGGUAACUUGUUGGGAAAAUUGUUAGAAAUUGAUUCUCUAACAACUGAUUAAUGGGCAAAUUUGCUAGACUAUGUAUUGAAUUGGAUUUGACUAAGCCUCUUGAGGCAUUUAUCCAGAUCAACCAAGUUUGGUGUAAUAUUGAAUAUGAAGACCUUCCUAAUAUUUGUUAUAUGUGUGGAAGAUAUGGAAAAAAAAAAAAUUGUAAACUGAAAGCUACUGCUGCUGUUGAAAAUAUGGAGAAAAUUUCGGAUGUUGUACCUUCCAGGGGAGAUCAUGUUACUAUGGAACAAGUGUUGUUAUGUUAAUUCGCAAUUGGACGGGCCAAUUUGUAGUAUAGCAAGAUAAGUACGAGGUCGUACCCAUGAGAACUGAGAAGUUAAACUUUGUUAUGUACUUAGAUUACCGAAUUCAAGAAAGUAGGAAGUUAAGUCUAAAACAGAAUUUAAAGUGAGAGUGAUUGUGAUCGUCAAAACAAAUGAAGCAAAAUGAAAUUGCAAACAAAAGCAAGUAAACAAGUGCAACAAAAGGUGGUUUUGAAGGUUGGAAAACUGAUUUGGAGACUGGGGCAUUCGAUUUACCAUAACAAUCCAAUUCUAGAUGAUAAGGAUUCAAGUGACAAGUCUAAUUCAGAUUCAAGAAUUGAUUCUAGCUAAAGUAUGAUUAAGCUAUGGUGUCUAGUCCUAACCUUGUAUUCCUAAUUCCCUAAUUAGAUCUUUGUUGUCGAACCUAAAUUAAGCUUUAAAAAUCCAUUAAGCAUAGAAGAAUGUUUUAAACAACCAAGCAUGUAUCUAAUUCCUGUUGUCGAAUUUCCAUACAUACUCUUCCUAUUCAUGGUUCAAAUAGAAUUAAGGCAUAUGAUGUCUACUCUUAAUUUCAACCAAGAUACACAAAUUUGAAUGAUAGCUAGGCAUUCCGAUUAGCAUAAGGGCAGGUAUGCAUAAUGAAUAAGAACAUGAAUCAUGAAUUAAACUUGAAAUUUGAAAUUUAUAAACCUAGAAUAUUCAUGUUAGGUUACAUCGAAACCCUAGUUAUGGAUUUAGCUACUCAUAAUGGGAAAGAAACUUAAACAGAAAUGAGAAAACAUAAUGAAUGCAAUAAGAGUAGAAAACCCUUUUCUGAAGUUCUUGUGGUGUCCAAUGCUUCUCCAAGAGCUUCUCCACGUGUAAUGCUUCUCCAAGAGCUUCCCAAAAUCUAGAAGGAUGUAUAAAGGUUAAGGAGGUUAUUUGGGAUGAGUUUGGGUGAGUGAUGAUGGUUGAGAAAGAGGAAAUUAGUAGGGAAAUGGAAGAGAGGCUUGUUGGGACAGUUUUUGUGAUUUGGUGCUGUUUAGAGCUUUGAGUUGAUGGCUGGAGUGUUUGGGGUUGUGAGAGUGUUUGAGGAUGAUUUCUGAACGUGUUUGAGGAAUGAUGGGAGUGUGGAGGAUGAAGUGAAUGGAUGCAUUGUGGGAGUGUGAAUCCCAUAAUAUGGUUCUUUUUAGUGUGGAAUGGAAGUGGUAUUUAUAGGAAGAAGGAAGUGAGAAAUCUGAAUUGAGAAUGGCUUUCACCUACAACAUUCACUUUACCAACCUUACCUAACACACCAAUGCAAUACAAAAUCAGUUUCUUUUCUUAUUUGGUUGUUGCACUUCACUAACAAAUCUCACCAGAAAUCAUAGCUCAUGCAUAGCUCAUCAUGACCAAGCAACCAUCAACUCAUCUUUAGGUAAGCAUGACCAGCAAAUUCGUGGGCUUACGAAUCGGAUUGUUCUUAAGAAAAUGACAACUUUUUGAGCCUUCCAUCUUGAAGUUCAGAAUGUCAUCUUUCCAACCACAUGUUAUUUGGGACAAUCCAAAGUCAGAUGAAGAUGUAAUGUCGAAACGAAUUGCUAACUCAAUUUGCACGUUUUCCUAUCCAAAGCCACCAUUGCUACCUAAAUCUCAAUGAACUGAAUGAUAAACACAAAAGAGAUUAAAAACAUAAGUUUAAGUAAAAAACAUAAUGAAAUCAUAAGCUAGAAUGGUACAAAAAGAUAUACAAUUACAAAUUGAUCAACAAGAGAAUAUUGAUUAUGCUCUUGAAAACUUGAGAGGCCCUUGGAUGAAUAUGCCUAUUAGAAGGAAACCCAAGCAUGUGGUUAACAACUUGGGAAACAAGGGAUCUAGAGGUGGCAACUUCGGGUCUAGGUUCAAUACUUUAAAAAAUGUGAGUGAAGGCUCUACGAAUGAUGGAGUGUCCUUUCAUGUGAAUGUCAGAAAGCACAAUUAUGGUCAUAUUGGCUCUUCCAAAAGUGGGGAGGCCAAUAGGAAAAAAGUUUGGACAAAAUCUAAAAACAAGACUCUUGGUCCAAGGAAAGCUUUAAAAGACAUUUCUAAUAAGCCUUUAUUGGAAUAUGUUAAAAGGACUGAUGGUUCUAUAUUUAUGAGUCAGUUUAACAACACUGUGACUAGGGGUCUGGCUACCGAGAAAGGUUAGUGAAUGGUGAGCAAAGGAUCAGGAACCACAUUUCCGUGAAUGAACAACUAAACAAGUGGAUUAGUGGUCAAAAGAAUUACAUGAAAAAUGGUGUCUAUGUCUUUAGGCACCAACCAACCAAUAUCACUCACCCAAAGAUGAUGCUUGGGAAGAAACAUACUACUAAGGAAGGAGUUGUCCCUUUGGCAUCUAAAGCCCAUGAUGGUACGAUCCCAAGUAAGCUUUGAAUCCGGCUCCAGGACAAAUGAAUUCUCUAAUUGGAGACUUAGCAUACAACACAUUCAUUGUUGUUGAUCAGAGCUAGUUCAUCGGAGAUAACUUUAAGAGUUUGCAGAUAGUCACACAUAGACUUGGAUUUAUAGUGGAUGAGAGUGAGGCGUUCCUUGAGGAUUAUUACUCGAAAAUGAGCUUGAUUAGUAUAAUGCUUAAAAAGUUUAUUCCAAAAUUCAUGGUAGAUUUUGGCUGCUAUGAUGAAUAUAGCUAGUUUACAAACAAAAGCAAGGAUGACGUGUUACAUAACACCUUGGUGUACCAUUGUGGUAUGGGCAUAAGUAUGAGCUUUGUUUUGACAAAUGGAUAUGGGCACUUGUGAGUGUCAUGAUAACUCGUGAGAUCAUAACCUACACAUUAUAAAAAAUUUGUUUCGUCUUAAAGAUAAUGAUAAAAUUACAUUGAGUCCAAAAUUACCAUAUCUUAGGCUAAUAAGUGCUUUAUUACAUUUAGCACAAUCUAAUAUACGGAAAGGCUACAAUUAAGGGGUAUAAAUGAGGGGCUUAAGUGAGUCUGAAACUCUCUGAUCCUUGUAUUUUGGUUACUUUUUGGAUAAAUUUGUGCAUCAUGACUUUGUUCGUAUGCAAGUUCAAUGCCUAUGGUUUGGAGUCUACAAGGAAGUCUCAACGAUGAUAAGCAUCUGUGCACCCAGUGGCUUCUACUAACGAAAACCUUUUUCAACAACAAUAUCUUUAAGACUUGCAUCGGAUUGAUCUCAAAAAAUAUGUAUCCCUGCUAACAAUUCUGCGAUUCUUUAAAGUGCAGCUUCACUGCUUAGGGGUUUUGUUAAACUGCCAUCCUGUUUCUUCUAUUUAAGGUAUCUGUUCUCCAAUACGCAUCAAAGGUUGGUGAUGGGAACUGAUUUUUCAAUUUGCCUUUUGCCCCAAGCUAUUGCACUCGUCUCUAGAGGCCCUCAUGAAGACCCAAAGGGAUGAUGUCGGCUUGAAUUGUGUAAGGUCAGCAUUCCACUUCUUGAAUAUUUCUUGUGUGCCCUUGCAAGUUGCGUGCAUUUUCCGUAUUUAAAGCACAGCUCAGCAAAGAUAUGACUUAUCNNNNNNNNNNNNNNNNNNNNNNNNNNNNNNNNNNNNNNNNNNNNNNNNNNNNNNNNNNNNNNNNNNNNNNNNNNNNNNNNNNNNNNNNNNNNNNNNNNNNGGAUGACGUGUUACAUACCACCUUGGUGUACAUGUGUAUGGGCAUAGUAUGAGCUUUGUUUUGACAAUGGAUAUGGGCACUGUGAGUGUCAUGAUAACUCGUGAGAUCAUACCUACACAUUAUAAAAAAUUUGUUUCGUCUUAAAGAUAAUGAUAAAAUUACAUUGAGUCCAAAAUUACCAUAUCUUAGGCUAAUAAGUGCUUUAUUACAUUUAGCACAAUCUAAUAUACGGAAAGGCUACAAUUAAGGGGUAUAAAUGAGGGGCUUAAGUGAGUGGUCCAAUCCAACUAUUAAACUUCAACAUUUUCAACUUACAUAUGGUUGGAUUGGACCACUCACUUAAGCCUCCUUUACUCAUACCUGUUGUUUUCGGAUUCAACUACACCAAAAUUGAUUCAGCUGCAUCCUCAACUUGUGAUACUCGUAAGUGCAUGAGCUGUUCGGUAGUAUAUCAUGUGUAAGUGCGAUGUCGAUCCCACGAGGAUUGAUGAUAGAUUGAUUCAAUUCGAUUCCCUGCACAAAACAAAAAACAAAAGAAUAGAAAACAAGAAAGAAAAAAAAGAACUAACUCAAGCAAAUCAGUUAACAAGUUUAAUUCAGAUUGAUGGAUUGAUUCUAGGUAAAGUAUGAUUAAGCCAUGGCUUCUGGUCCUAACCUUGUAUUCCUAAUUCCCUAAUUAGAUCUUUGUUGUCGAACCUAAAUUAAACAUUAGAAAUCCAUUAAGCAUAAAAGAAUGUUUUAAACAACCAAGCAUAUAUCUAAUCCCUGUUGUUGAAUGUCCAUACAUACUCUUCCUAUUCAUAGUUCAAUUCGAAUUAAGACAUAUGGUGUCUACUCUUAAUUCCAACCAAGAUAGUUAACAUAUAAGUUUUAAUGGUGAUCAAUCAUUCAAACAAACAUAUUAACUUAUAAGCAUAAUAAAUAAGAACAAAAGCCAUAAUUGAAACUUGGAAACAAAUCAAACUUGAAAACUUAAAAUAAGAAAUUAUAUGACAAUGAAAAAUAAAUUACAACUAAGAAAAACAUAAAGGAAAAUUUAGCAAAAAAGUUUUAUUACAACAAUUGAGAACUUAAAAGGAAAACUAAGAGAAUUCGAGAGAGAAAAUGGAGAGAAGGAAGGUCGAACACCUCUCUAGAGCACCUCUCCCUUCUCUUCCUCAAAUUCUCUAAGUUCUCAAAUACACCCCAAAAGGGGGAGCUCUCAAACACAUCUAUAGAAAUCCCCUAUUCUCUUCCUCAAAUUCUCUUAGUUCUCAAACACCUAUGUAGAAAUCCUCUCUAUUCUCUUCCUCAAAUUCUCUUAGUUCUCAAACACACCCCAAGGGGGGAAGCUCUCAAAUACCUCUCUAGAGCUCAUCUCCCUUCUCUUCUUCAAAUUCGCUAAGUACUCAAACACACCCUAGGGGGAGAGCUCUCAAACAUCUCUCUAGAGCUCUUCUCCCUUCUCUCCCUCAAAUUCUCUUAGUUUUUCUUUUAAGUUCUUAAUUGUUGUAAUAAAACCUUUUUGCUAAAUUUUUCUUUAUGUUUUUCUUAGUUGUAGUUUAUUUUUCAUUGUCAUGUAAUUUCUUAUUUUAAGUUUUCAAGUUUGAUUAGUUUCCAAAAGUUUCAAUUACAGUUUUUGUUCUUAUUCAUUAUGCUUAUAAGUUAAUAUGUUUGUUUGAAUGAUUGAUCACCAUUAAAGCUUGUAUGUUAGCUAUCUUAGUUGGAAUUGAGAGUAGAUACCAUAUGCCUUAAUUCGAAUUGAACUAUGAAUAGGAAGGGUAUGUAUGGACAUUCGACAAUAGGAAUUAGAUACAUGCUUGGUUGUUUAAAAUAUUCUUCUAUGCUUAAUAGAUUUCUAAUGCUUAAUUUAGGUUUGACAACAAAAAUCUAAUUAGGGAAUUAGGAAUACAAGGUUAGGACCAGACACUUUGGCUUAAUCAUACUUUAAUUAGAAUCAAUCGGUGAAUAUGAAUUGAACUUGUUUACUGAUUUUCUUGAGUUAUUUCUUUUCUUUCUUUCUUGUUUUCUGUUCUUUUGUUUUGUUUUCUGUUUUGUGUAGGGAAUCGAAUUGAAUCAAUCCAUCAUCAAUCCUUGUGGGAUCGACCUCGCGCUUACAUAUGCUAUACUACCGAAUAACUCAUGCACUUGCGAGUAUCACAAGUUAAGGAUGCAGCUGAAUCAAUUUUGGCACAGUUGAAUCCGACAACAAGAAGUUUUUUAGUAUAUUCGUAAGUUUGGAGAACCUCACUAUUUAUAGGCCUAAGGGAAGUAAAAACAAUUAGCUCAUGCAUAGGUCAUGCAUGAUAAUACACUGCAAUCUGGUUGUAGGCUCGUUUUGGGCUUGUUCCUUCAUUCAUACAAUUCUGGAAAAAUAUGGGUCUUGAAGCUCUUUGUCUUAUCCUUCUAACCAUAUGUAGUCAAAUGUCAUUUUUGGCAUAGUAACGUAGAUGCUGCCGAAUUUCACCUUAAGCUACCAAAACUUUCAUAACUUUUUUUAGAAGACUCAGAAUCAUGAACCAUAAAAUGCUCCAGAAACUAAACUCCCACAUAUUUCCAAUGGUGUAUGGCUCAUUAGCUGGUUCUUCCAAAGAUCAUACAGUCCAAGCCAUGAAUUUGACUGAUCUACAGACACAGUUUUGAGCUAACUUGACUCCAAAAUGCAUUAAAUGAGUCCUAAAGCUUAAUACACUGAAACAAACACACAAGCGAUUAAAAGCACAAUUUUAACUUUAAAACAUAACGAAAUCAUAAGUUAGAAGGGUACAAAAUGAUAUAUAAUUAUGCACUUAUCAAUACCCUCUCAUUAUAGCAGCUCCCAUCUACUAUGAACAAUAUCACAUUUCUAAUGAAUUUAUUAGCAAGGUAUAGAUCAGCUCCAAUAUGUAGACAUUGGAACUGUAUAAAGCAUAUCUCGCACUAUCUUUGCAGAUGUAGUUACUUGUGGAAAUACAUUGAUCUCAUGAAGAUCUACCAAACAAACUGUGAUUGCUACAUCCUCUAAUCAUUAAAAAAUUCUCGUGCUCAUGAAACCAACAAAGAAUGUGUUUGGUUAAGAUCUCAAAUUUAUCAAAUUCAAAGCACAUGUGUUCUUUCUUUAACAACAAAUGCUCUAAUGAUUAUGUAUGAAGACAAUGAUGCAUAUAUAACUUAAAUCAAAGAAUGAUUUAUCAAGAGUGACACAACCAAACACAUAUCACCAAAAUUAUUAUACACAUGAACUUUAAAAAAUUCUAGAAAUCGAAGUCAAACAAAUUUAUUCCCAAGAUAAUAUUUCAGUCAUUUUCACCAAAGCUCUACCAAAAUCUAUAUUCUAGAAGUUGAUGUAUGGUAUCGGGGAGCAUUGAAUUUACAAGCAAUCAAAUUCAAACUUGUUGGGAUCAUAUGAAGAUAUCAAUUUAGGGAAGCAUCCAAAAGUAUACCACAUCAAACAUAUGCACACUGUACUAUUUUUCUCUUGGACUAGGCUUUAUAUCACAUUGGAUUUUUCAUUGUAAGGUUUUAAUGAGAUAUAUUUCAAUGUGUCCAACGCGAUGUCAAUAAUCUGGACAAAAGUAGUACUUGUCUUUUCCCUUCGCUAAGGUUUUAUCUCACCGAGAUUUCUUAGCAAAGGUGUUAAUGAGGUAACUUAUCAUUCAUGCGCAGACAUCCAAUGGGAUUUUGUAGUAUUAAUGAUUAUGCGGCUAUCCACUUGAAGUCAAUAAGUAUUAGUUCAUUUGACUAUUAAGUAAAUUGUUAAUAUUAAUAUUUAGAGAGAAGUUAUGAUGGAAUCUCAAUACAUUUCACUUAUUAUAACUUAAGUAACAUUUACAUAUCAUUUCUCUCAAACGCUCUCCACUUCUCUCCCUCUCAAACCCUAGUCACUGUUCCUAUCCUAGGGAGGGGGAGGGAAGGUCACUGUCUUUCCUCCCUUCUCCUUCCUUAUUUUCUCUCAUCCUCUUCCUAGCUCUUUUCUCUUGCCUUCCUUUUGGUUUUUUAGUUGAGCUUAUUGUCAUUUCUGACCCUUCGAGGGUUUGGUUGUGCUCUCUGCUCUACUUUUUUGUUGCCCUGGAUCUCCUUAAACCCCCCCUCACCUUGUGAUGCCCCUUUAUUUUGCGGCUUUAUCUUGGUGUUGUUUGGGUUCUUUUUGCAGAUCUGUGGGUUUUGUGUGUGUGUAUUUAUUUAUUUAUUUUUGUAGAUUCCUGUGUGGCUGCGGUUCUCCCCUCAACUUGGGCUUCUACCAUAGUGUUCUUGUUUUCGAGCAUCUCGUUGGUUUUGCAUUUUUUUUUUUUUGGGUUGUAAUAAUUACAUAAACUCUUUUGUGACUUUGGUGUUUUGUUUGUAGUUGAGUCUCUACUUGUAAUUUUACUUGUGAUAUAGUUUAAAAGUUGUAGUUGUAUUGGUAGUUUUGGGCAAUGAUCGGUCCAUAUCUAAUUUGUUUAGGCUUGCGGCUUUCAUGCUGAAAUGUGUUUGGAUUUAUGCCACUACUAGUGGAGAUAUGCCUUGUGGUGUAUUUCUCUAUAUUUGGAAUAACCCUGCGUGGUUACUGUGCUUCCACAUUUGUGUCAACCUGUUUUGAGUAGUUUAUGCCCUUGUGGAUGAUGAUGUUGGUGCCUAAGUGAUGAUGGUCUUGUCCUGUAUCCUGAAGGGGAAAACACAAGAGAUAUACUGCUGCACCGGUUCGUGGGCUUUGCCAACUCAUAGUGGGCUUGAAUCUCCUUACAAAGAGCGAAAUAUCUGUGCUUCAACCUAAUUGUCUAUGUGCUUCUUGGAGCAUAAAAUAUUUCUUGUAUUUUCUUAAUUGUAUCUAGCAAUAUGGAAAAAGGCCAAAGGAGAGAGAAAUUUUUUAAAAGAAGCCAAAAUGGACAAAAUUACUCUUAUUUAUUUUUGAAUUUCCUAAGGAAUCCUUUACAUUUGUAUAUCUUUAAUUUGAUAGUUGAGAGGUUUUUCUGUCUUUUUUAAAAAAGCUUUGGCUUUUUCCAAAAGUGAAAGUUUUUUUAUGACUAAAACCUAAAUUUACUUAUUAAUUAAGUUCUUUAAUGAUGUAAACUAGGUUAACUUUGAGCAUAGCAUGCAAGUCUCUAACCCUACAUAAAUGGGCCUAAUGGAAAGAAAAAGAUACAGUAAAAGUUCUUAUUUCUUUCUUAAUUAUUUGAUUUCCAACAAUUUUAUUUUUUGUAAGAUAAUUUACAACUUUAGAUAGUUGCCAAAAGGAUUUAUCCUAAAUAAGGAAAAUAGCGUAUAAGUUUAUAGGCUGAAAAUUAGAGUACAUAUAUUAAAACCUUAAAACCUUGAAGCCGAAAAAAAAACAUAAAACGGCCACUAAUGCUAUUAUCCUAGAUUCUACAUAUACUUUGCAAACACAAUAAAAUAGAACUAGAUUCUUUUUUAAUCAAAAUUAAUUAGGUAGAUAGACUUUAAUUAUUAUUUUUUUGGGUUGUAUGUGUUCUUCACUAGGUGAUUCUAUUUUCCCCCCUUUCCCUUACCUUUACUACUUCUCUCACUGUGUUGUACUACUUUAAUAACUCGUCUCUCCACCGUCCACUCCCUUCAGUCAUCUUGUACUCUCUCUCUCUCUCUCUCUCUCUCUCUCUCUCUCUCUCUAUAAAAGCAAGGUCACCCAGCAAAACUAUUCCCUUCAUCUCACACAGUAUAGUAGUACCCUUUUUAAUUAACCAUGGCUGACUACCCCUACUCAUCAAAUUUCUUCCCAGGUCUCUUCAAAUUCAACCCUCUUUAUCAACGUCACCAUGAACAGCCUCCAAACCCUCCUCCUCCUCCUCCUCCUCAUCCUUAUGCCCACAACUUUUUCCUCAACCAGUCUCACUCUUUUUACUGCACCACCCAACAAACUGUUACCUCUAGGCCCCCUUCCCCUCCUCUCAGAGAAGCCCUCCCUCUCCUCAGCCGCUUAAGCCCAACAAACCAACAACAACAACAUCAUCUCCUUCAUGAAAAUCAACAAGAUCAUCAUCAGUAUAAAGAUCAAGAUGAGGAAGAAGAAGAUGAUGAUGAUGAGAGUGUGACUGUUGCACUUCACAUAGGGUUGCCUAGCCCUAGUGCUGCUGAGAUGGCCUCUGUGCUGUCUGCUGCUGCGGUUGCUUCUUCCUCCUCAGAGAUUAGUAGUCAUCAUCAUGAAAAAUUAGAUCAUGGGGGAGAUAAUGAUUCUGCAGGGUACCCCAUGAGCUGCAGGCUCAACAAGGGUCAGUAUUGGAUCCCCACCCCUUCCCAGAUUCUCAUUGGUCCUACUCAGUUCUCUUGCCCUGUUUGCUACAAGACCUUCAACAGAUACAACAACAUGCAGGUAAUUGAUUUCACCAUUUAAAGUUGAACAAAAUUAAUAAAACCAUUGAGGUAAAUUUCUUGAUUCACCAUGAAACCAUGGCCUCAGAAGCCAUUUUCCCUUUUCUCCUCUCUCUCUCUCUCUCCCAAUCUUUUUCUUUUUAUCAGCCUUUUCUUCUCUCUUUGUUUUCCUCUAAUAAUUUAAGGACAACAAUCAGUCUCAUGAUGAGCUCAGCUUUUUGUUUCUUCAAUUUGUCUUUGAUUUUCUUCCCUUAACUAUCAUCCUAUGCUUGGGUUUAUAAAUGGAAAAUCAGAUUGGGGUAUCCUUUUUGUUUUUUAUUUACUUUUUCCAAAUUUUACUUUUUAAAAACAUAUUCAUCAUCUUCUACUUUUAUUUGCAUGGUUUCUGGGAAUUGGGGUUGAGUAAAUCUUUCUGAUUCAGCUAAGGCUAUGGGCAGUACCGUCCCUUUAUGUGAUUGAACAACACAGGCAAUGUUCCUUAUGCCUUUAGUACUUUGAAGUCUGUGCUCAAACAUAUAAUGGCAGAAGCUGAAAAAUCUUGCAGUGUUUUUACCAGAGGGGCCAGGUCAUAACAUUAUUCAAGUAACAAAUGAGUUUCUGUAUGUGGACCUUCAGUCUGCAACAAAUCAGUUUUUGGUCAUCCAAGCCCCAUACUUAUUCAUACAAAAUAUAUACCUCUCUCUCUUCUCAAUCAACAAAUCUUGAAAACUCAAUAAGUAAUUCAUUUUUUUCUUUCUAUUAUUACAUCUCAAUGAGCUCUAUCAACUCAGUAAGUAAAUUGGUAGAUCUCUCUUUUGCAGACAAAGACUUGUAAACUAAGCACUUUCAUAUGCCUUUUAAAGCGUCCCUAAAACAUUCAAACAAUUCAUUGCGAAAAAAAGAAAGAAUUUACUCCAAUUGAAAAUGCAUUUUCAAGGGAAGUCCAUAUAAAUAUAUAUAUUUAUCUGAAUCUUAUAAAAAUCAUGCAGUUUUAAUCCCCAAAAUAUUUGCACCUUUAAUCCAGUAAUUAGUUAGAAAGUUUCUUUCAUGUGCACAACAGAAAAGUUAAUGAAUCUCGGAAUUCAUCAACAAAAGAUGACUAGCAUAUUAGAAGCCAAAUAAUAGGCUUAAAUACUGCACGUGCAAGCCAGCAUUUUGUAGUUAUCUUUUUUAUCUUUUUAUUUUUUUCUCUUUGAAUUAACUGAUAGUUUGGAUGUUUUGGUAUUCAUUGAUCACUGAUUUUUGUUUUAUUAUUUUCUUUUUCCGACUAUAUAUGUUAUAUAUUGUAGAUGCAUAUGUGGGGGCAUGGAUCUCAGUAUAGAAAAGGGCCUGAAUCUCUGAGGGGCACUCAACCAACAGGCAUGCUUAGGCUUCCUUGCUAUUGUUGCACACCAGGUUGCAGGAACAACAUCGAUCACCCUAGAGCAAAGCCGCUAAAAGACUUCAGAACCCUUCAAACACAUUACAAGAGGAAGCAUGGAAUCAAGCCUUUCAUGUGUAGAAAGUGUGGCAAGGCAUUUGCAGUGAGGGGGGAUUGGAGAACCCAUGAGAAGAAUUGUGGGAAGCUUUGGUAUUGCAUUUGUGGCUCUGAUUUUAAGCACAAGAGGUCCCUUAAAGAUCAUAUCAAGGCCUUUGGGAAUGGGCAUGCAGCUUAUGGCAUUGAUGGCUUUGAAGAAGAAGAUGAUCCUGCUUCUGAAGUGGAGCAAGAUAAUGACUCCAUGCAGUAAUUACUUACUUGGAAGAGAAUUAAGAAACAUUAAGUAUUGUUCAUUAAUAUCAUUAGCAUAUGAACUUAAUUAGAGGGGUAAUAUUUAUUGACAUAGCCAUGGCUUUCUGAGUAAGAAGUAUGUAAGCAUCAUUUUGCUUAGAGGCCACCUUUUUUCUUCUUCUUUUUUUGCUCUUAUUAUGUAGCUCUUUUCUCAGUUCUGUAAGAGGUUCCAAAACAAAUCCAUGUUGACCAAGUAAUUUAUGUCAACCCAUUGUUCAUCAGCUAAUGUGAAUGGCUUUUAGUUUUUAUAAUUUUCUGUCCCUUUUGUUUUUUUGUUUUUUUUGAGAGAAAAUGGUAUUUCAUUCUACCCAAACGUAACAUUACAUGGUAGAAAAAUCUUUAACGAAUUGAUAACUUACUGAUCACUGUGAAGCUCAAGAUGGGAAACAAUAUGCCAAGAAGGCCACAUUGAACCUUAAUGAUUAUACAUUUUCUUUAGGAAGUAUAUAUUCUCAUAUUUGGAUUGCCCUUGCCACUAAUAAGGAGAAAGAGAGAGAGAAUUUAAGAAGAUGGUCAAUGAGAAGAGAAGAAUCUUUGAAAUAAGACGAUCUAACUUUUAGAGAUAAUAAUAAUAUACGCACGGAUAAUUGAACUUUAGGGGUUUGGGGCUUUUGGCUUUAAUAAUUCAAUUUCCUUUUAGGAUCCUCCCGAAGAGUAUUCAUCAAUUCACAAAUCUCAUAAUUCCAAGUGCUCGAUUACUAAUCAGUUAUACAUGUGUGUCUUGAAUCUCACAUCAAUUUUGUAUUCUGUUAAUAAAUUUUAUUGUAUAAGUGAAUCAUGAACAUAUUUGUUGAAAUCUUGAUAAGGAUGUCAUAAUUUGAGUGAGUCGUAAUGAGAACGUUAUGGAUUUAAGUGGAGAUUGAAAUAUAUGUUCCGUGCUAGUUUUGUUUAUGUUAAUUAAUUAGGAGAGUAUGCUAUCUCUUGGUUAUAAUGAUUCAAGUAAACUUUAUUAGUGACUAAUUAUAAUCUCUUUAGGAAUAUUGCAUCAAGAAGGCGAGUUGGUAUCUGAAAUGGUGGCAAUAUUGUAAAGGCAAAGUUAAGAGGAAAGCAAGACAAGGGUUGGGUAUAUUUUGUUCCAAAUGUAGUUGAGAUAGGCUUUUCAUCUCCUGCAAAUAACAUGCAUCAACUUUUUGUUGGGGCUGCAUACGAUGCCCCUUUUGCUUUGUUAGUGGAGAGAGAGAGAGAGAGAGAGGUAUGUUUGAUGGAUGGAACAUGUACCAUUUGAUUCACUAUUGCUUGGGAAAUUCAAAGCAAAUGAUUAGCUUAGAGAGAGAGAGAGAGAAAGGGGAUAAAUAAUAUAAACCUAAAAAUGUAGAGAUAUGCAUAUGUACACACAUAACUAACACAAGAGAAGGAAAGUUAAAGAAAAAAAGAGAGAAAAAUGAUGUAGGUGUCAAUCAAUAAUAAUAUUGGAUUGGAAUGGAUCUCGUUGGCAGCUUUGUUGAGAGAGAAAGAGAGAGAGAGAGAGAGAGAGAGAGAGAGAGAAGAGGAUGGGAAAAAGCUAAGGUCAGCUACAGAGGGUGAAAACGCAACUGGGUGGAGCCCAAGUCGUAUUGGUUGGUUGGUUGUGCUAGUUUGCAACAUAUACUGAUACCCUGCUACAGUCAUACAAAAACCUUUCUUCUGAUGGAUGAACUGUAGAUUGAAACGACCUCUCAAUAACACUUUGACCACCCCUCUCUUUCUCUCUCUCUCUCUCUCUCUCUCUCUCUCUCAAGGGCAGGCAGGGCAACUUUGAAAUAUUAUUUCAGCAAGACUGCAAAACUUGCUAGCUAGCUUAUCUGCUAAAUACAACAUGAAGUCAAGUAUGGUGAAGAAGAGAAUAAUGGUAAUAGUGAUGUAACAUACUCGUGUUUUACACUUUCACUAACCAAACGUACGUAUAUUUAAACUUUUUGGUACGUUAUUCUUCUAAUUAACCAAAACCUACGUAUAUUUAAACGUACGUAUAUAUCUUUAUCUUGUAGGUGGGCGAAGUGGGUUUGCUAGCUAUAUAUAUUAUAUAUUUUUGGCAAAAAAGAAGAAGAAGAAGCUAUAUAUAUAUAUAUAAAAUUCCUGUGUAAUAAUAAUUAGUAUUAUUACUCCUACUACUAAACAUAUAUAUAUAGUUGAACUACAAGUAGAAAGCAUUUAUUCACAAUCAAUAUCCCACCCCUUUGUAGGGGAGACCAAAACCCUACCACUAUUUGAUCCUUUUGGUCCACCCCCUCUCUCUUUUCCAUUUACAUCACCACACAUUCUCUCUCUCUCUCUCUCUCUCUCUCUCUCUCUCUCUCUCUCUCACGUGUAAAAACACACACAUGCUUGCUUAUCAUUCUCAUCUAUCUUUUUGGAAAUAGAGUGCAUGAGUUAUACGCUACAACAUGGGGAGGUCAGGUCAGAAUGAAUGAGUGAUUAGUUUCUUGAAAGUUCAAAGCAUCCACAUAUAUGGAGAGAGACAUUUUAGUUGACAUCCCUCUCAUAUAAACUUAUUUGAAUGACAUCCUUUUAAGUUUCACUUCAUAUUGUAUUUUAAUGAUUCGAACAGUCUAUAAAUUCAUCUAAAAAUUAUUUAUGAAAAAAUUACUUAAAUCUAAAUCCAUUUAACUACACCUACAAUAUAUAUCACAUACCCCACCACAAAAUAUAUAUAUAUAUAUAUAGGUGGGGUAAAAUUGAUAAUUCCAUUUUUAUGCUUUAUAUGCCAUGCAUUGUCACUAUGCAAAGAUCUUUGCCCUUUCUUUAGACGAAUGAAUAGAAAGCAGAGGGUUUGUACUGUCUAUAUAUCUAUGUCUAUAUCUAAGCAAAAAUAUAUACACACUGAGUACUGACGUUCUUAUCAACUGAUGAGGCAAUUGUUUUUUUCCCCAUCCUCGAACACUCAAUGGCUCAGCCAUGCACAGCCUUCUCUGCUUAAAAUCCCAAGACUGAAGAAACUCUUUUUUCUCUUUCUUCUCUAGUCCCAAAAUUCAUGUAUAUUUUUUUGUAUUUAUAUUUAAUUCCAAGAUACUGUUACCAAGACCUCAAGGAGACCAAGCUUCCCUACACGAGAAUAUGUAUAAAUGUUUUGUUUUUCUCAGUAUUUUCCUUUUUAUUUUCACCUUUGUAUUCACAUUCCAAUACAGAGGGGGACAGCUUUGUCUCCCUUGGCUCGAAUAUCACCAGCUUUUCCGGGCAUAUUAUAAUUUAAGCCACUCAUCUUCGCCUUGCCAAUUCAAUGAAUUUUUAAUUAUAAAUAAGUCCCAACUAUUGUUUCAUUAAUUUCAACACAUUGUCGGCAGAAGAAUAUAUGUGAAAACAAUUUCCUCAUCUAAAUUAAAUUAACAAGAGAAUGUGUAUAAGAUAUUUUGUAUUUAGUAAAGUUGUGGGGUACAAUCGCUGUGUGUUUCUUCUUUAAAAUAUUAUUACUCUGGUUCGAUUUUUAAGAUUGAUUUGUUGAUUCAAAGGUGUCAAGCACUCGUCUUAAAUUGAACAGUUGAAUUUCAAUUGGCAUGUGUCAGUAGUGAUUAAUGAUUCCACAACCAUGAUGCAAAACCUUGGAAGUUUUUUAGUCCAAGUUUUGUUUGCCUUGGUCAAAGAGUUUGUUUACCGUGCCAAACGUUCCUUUUUUUAAAAUAAGAUCGUAUCAGUCUAUGGAGUUCUUGUUCUUGAAUCCCUAAAUUUUAAAUCCGUUAACUUGUGAGAUUAAGUCUUAAUUUGUGAAUUUAAGACUUUGAUAUGAUUUGCCAACAUGAUUUAGCCUAAUGAAAAAUGGUCUUGACUUGCAGACUAGUGGUCUUAGAAUUGAAUCCCCAUGGCAUCAUAGUAGUGUGCGUGUGAGAAGCUCCCUUCCCUCUAUAGUUUAGACUAUCUUUUGUACUAAAGAAAAAAAAAAUGACUUUGAUUUGAUUCAGAUUGUCUUAGUUUUGAUUUAGCUUUAUUUGACUUGAGAUUAAAUCAAGAACAUUGCUUGGCUCCUUACAUAUUAAGAAGUCAUUCCUACUUACAUGUGUGGGAGCAAAUAAUCACACACAAAUAAUUAAACACCACAUGUAUCCGAAUAUACUUGUUUGGACCAAUGACCCCUAGUGAAAUGGGCAGGAUAACCAGAAGCACAUCCCAUCACUCACUAAUGAGAGGAUGAGUGGCGUAAUUGCCUCGAAUUGGCAUAAGUCAAUUCCUCUGCCAUAAUUGAUAAGAGCGUGGGUCCACUAGAAAACCCACGCGCUCAUUAGGCCCAAUAGGGCCUUUAAACAUCUCGGGCCUUGCUAGGUCGCAGAACCCUAGCUUGGGCCCAAGAACUGGGUAGGCUUAAGAUAAGCCUUACCUGGGCUUCACAUAACACGCCUAAGUAGGACCAAUCUUUGGACAGCACACCUACAAAACAGAUCAGCAGGGAUCUCUAAGAUCUUCCUAAUUAUUGCAACAACAAUAAUCUAGGAGACUAUGCCCACAAAUUUUGGGCAAAUAUCUCACACUUCUUAAGCCAAACGAUUAAUUGACUGGACAUGUGAAAUGACCGGUCAUAACCCAAGUAACGACCAUACAAAGCCUCUUAAGAAGACAAGUCAGCCACCAACGGGCCAUAUAAAACCCAAUCUCCACCGUGAGAGGAGGUAACAUUCAUCAGCCUAAGAAACCCUAUUUCUUCUAACCUUGGAACUGACUUUGGCAUUAAAGAUGCACCUAGGAUUUCAAAAUGAGGAGGGCUAGAUUUACCUUAUGGGUGAAUUGUUAGUUUUGAACAUGACUAAACCUUAAAACUUAUAUACUAACUAUAAGAAGAAAAAAAAAAAUUUUAAUUGACCUAGGAUGAAAAAUAUAUAUAUAUAUUGUCAUGGGCCAUAAGCUAGGUCCCUCCGUGUUUCGAAUCAGAGACUUUUUGACUCACACCACACCGAUGCGUACAAAGACUCACAAUACUUCAUUCUUCCUUAAAUUUCAAGGGCAGUGAAGUCUUUUCCAAAAGUAGACAAAACCAUUCUCCAGAACUUACAAAUCACAGUAUGAAAAAAAUAUAUAAAUUUACUUUAUUAAAAAUACAAAAAGACAUUAUUUUUGCAAACAUGUUAAACUGUGCUAUAUAUCCUCUUACAUGUAAGAAGCAAGUAAUAUUUUCCUCUUCAAUCAAAUCUCGUGAUAGCCAAUUCGCAUUCACUCUAUUUUCUUGAUCCCUAAUCACAUAUCAUGUGUUUUUUGUGUCUUGAUAAAAUAAAAAAUUUUGCAUUGACCAAAAAAAUUUUGAUGUCUACAAAAUGUACAUGGGAAAAUACACAGGGCAAUUAUUUAUUAGCAUCAAGUAUAGCUGUAUAUCUGGCUGAAAAAUCAAAAAGGAAAAUAAAUGAAAGAAUCAAAGUACUUUGAUCCCUUAACAAUCCAUGCAUGCUAUAAAUCAAUUACAGGUGAUGUGUAUGUGUGUGCCAGAUAGCUUUAUGAUAAAAGAAGUACGUUUGAUGGGAAUAUUUUUUUCACCAUUUUAAUUCAAGGUGUGUGAUUAUUAUUUUUCUUAAUAUUUGAUAUAUAUUCGUAAACAUAACUACGGUUUCAUAAAUACAAAACAAAAAGUUAUAAUUAUGCUCAUAAACACGUGUCAAGUGUUAAAAAUGAUGAGGAUACACAUUUAGUUAAAGUAGUGAGAAAAACUAUUUCCCUGUUUGAUGACUAUAACCCUGAUGUACCUGCAAGAUAUGUCUCCAUUAAACAAAUGCUAACCAACCAAUUGAAGGCAGAUCUUAGCUGCUUUUGAUCCUCAAAGUAUACGUACAAGACAACUUUGUUUGAGAGGCCCCAAUGACUAAAGGGAAAAGAGCAAAAGGCAAAAAUAAUCUUGACCCCAUAAUGACUUUUAAAAAGAAACAAAAAUGCUAUCAAAAUUAAAUAAAACACGAUGAAACAAAAAUCUUCUUUUGGACUAUACCUAAGGCUAUAGCUUCUCUUUUUCUCAUGAUCAUUAUCCAUGACAUAUGCCUGCUUUUUUUAAUAACCAUUUUCUGGUGCUAAAGUUUUCUUGCUUUAAUGUUAUAGAUUCUCCAUGUUGUAGGUAUAUGAUAUCAUUGUACUGGGAAUAUAGAGAAAAACUUCAUGGAGAAGAAAGAGAGCAUACUUCAACAUAACACACAAAUAUUUUGGGAGGGAGAGAAGUCUAGGAUUUUUUACUAUGUACUUAAAGGACACAAGGAAAAGUUAUGUUUGAUGUUCAUGCCUAUCAAAUCACAUAGACGGGUAUUAUCUCAUGUUCUGAGAAUGGAUAUAUAAAAACUCAUGUAUUCAAAUUCUCAAGUUAGUCUCUGCUAAAAUAUGAAAAUUAUAAGAGAAUAUUUAUUUGUGGGAAUUUUCUGUGUAUUUUUCUCUUUGUAGGAGGUCAUAUUUAUAAUACAACAAAACCUGAAUGGGCAAAUAAAUAAUAAAUUCCUAAAUCCAUUUACAAUAGAAAAUCAGGAAUUAAAGUAAAUCAAUUACAAUUAUAAUAGGAAUUCUUGGUGUGUAAGGAAAGUAAGUCAAUAUCCACAAGUCACGCCAACACUCCCCCUCACGUUGGUGCAUAGAUGUCGUCAAUGCCCAACUGAUCCAGUGAAUUAUGAAACGCUUUACUGGAAAUUGCUUUUGUCAAAAUAUCCGCCAAUUGAUCCUCGGAUUUCACAAAAGGAAACUGAAAUACUUUAGCCUCAAGCUUCUGUUUGAUGAAGUGUCGGUCCACCUCAACAUGUUUAGUACGAUCAUGCUGAACCGGAUUAUGUGCAAUGGCUAUAGCAGCCUUGUUGUCACAAAAGAAAUUCAUUGUGGAUUUAGGUUUAUACCCAAUUUCAGUAAGCAACUUUCUUAACCAAAGAAGUUCACAAAUCCCUUUAGUCAUGCCUCUGAACUCGGCUUCUGCACUGGAUAAAGCUACUACAUUUUGUUUCUUGCACCUCCAUGUCACCAAAUUACCUCCCACGAAUGUGAAGUAACCCGAUGUGGAUUUUCUAUCUGUUACAUUACCUGCCCAAUCUGCAUCUGAAUAACCAUCAAUAUUUAGAUGACCAUGCUUUGAGAACAUAAGUCCUUUUCCAGGUGCAGACUUCAAAUAUCUAAGUAUCCGAAGAACUGCAUUCAUGUGGUCUUCACUUUGAGAGUGCAUAAAUUGACUGAAAAAUCACCGCAUAAGCAAUGUCUGGUCGAGUAUGUAACAAAUAGAUCAAUCUAACCACUAACCUUUGGUAUCUUUCUUUGUUAGUUGGAACUUGAUCCGAAUAUUCUCCAAGAUGAUGAUUCUGAACAAUAGGAGUGUCCGCAGGUUUGCAAUCUAGCAUUCCUGUGUAUGUCAACAAGUCCAAGACAUAUUUCCUUUGAGAGAGAAAUAUGCCUUGCUGCGAUCGAGCCACUCAAUUCCCAAGAAAUACUUGAGUCCACCUAGAUCCUUCAUCUCAAACUCAGUAGCCAUAUAGUCUUGUAGCUGUGAUAUUUCAUGUUUAUCAUUCCCAGUAAUAAUCAUAUCAUCAACAUAGAUUAUUAAUGCUGUUACCUUCCCUUUUCGAUGUUUCAAGAACAGAGUAUGAUCUAAGUUGCACUGUUUGAAACCAUUGUUCUUCAUUGCCAUGGUGAACCGUCCAAACCAUGCACGUGGUGACUGUUUCAAUCCAUACAAUGCUUUUCGUAACCUGCAAACUGUUCCAGUCUGAGCAGUAUUAUAUCCAGAAGGAAUGUCCAUGUACACCUCCUCCGUGAGUUCGCCAUGUAGAAAAGCAUUCUUUACAUCAAACUGGUGUAGUGGCCAAUCCAAAUUAGCUGCAAGGGACAAUAAGACUCUGACGGUGUUUAACUUUGCAACUGGUGCAAAAGUUUCUUCAUAGUCUAUACCAUAGGUCUGUGUGUACCCUUUUGCCACAAGUCUUGCCUUGUAUUGCUCGAUAGAUCCAUCUGCAUUGUGUUUUAUAGUAAACACCCAUCUACAUCCGAUAGUCUUUUUUCCUCGUGUUAUAGUCUCCAAUGUCCAAGUCCGAUUUUUCUCAAGAGCUUUCAUCUCCUCUUUUAUAGCUUGAACCCACUUAGGAUCUUUCAAUGCUUCAGAGACCUUGGUUGGAAUAUGGAUAGCAGACAACUGAUGCACAAAAGCCUUGAGUGGUUCAAACAGCUUCUUAGUGGAUACAUGAUUUGCAAUUGGAUACUUGAAUCUCUUGCCAAUAUCAGGUGAAUAACGGUUUGGUGGCUUCCCACGAUUUUGCCUGAAAGGUAAUUAAUAUUCAAUAGUUUUAUCCUCUAAAUGCACAAGUCUAGGAGUAUUUACCUCAAAGAUAUUCUCAGGAGAUUGGUCCAUUGGUACUGUUGAAGGAGAGGGGAGGUCUUCAUUUUGUUGUUCUGAGUUGUCUAUAAGAGUAUGACUCGAAUCAAAAACAUCUUCGCAAGGGUUAGGCGAUCGAUCGUUGUUUGGUAGAGAGCAUUUGCACGUGCCAGACUCGAGACAAUUGAUUGUUAUUGUUUCUUGGCCGAGAGCAAUCUUCGUGCAUAGAUGAAUAUCCUCGUUUUCCAAGCUGCUCCAAUUGAGCUCUUCACUCGGUAUCUCCCCCUGAAGAGUAUAAUUGGAUGCUGGGUCAUAGAAGAACAUAUCUGAUUCCAGAAAUGUGACAUCCAAAGUGACAUAGGUUCGCCGGGUAGGAAGGUGUUAACAUCGGUAGCCUUUCUGAUGAGUGGCAUAAUCCAAAAAAACACAACGAAGUGCACAUGGAUCAAGUUUGCUUCGUUGAUUUUUGUGGAGAUGAACGAAUGCCACACAUCCAAAAAUUCAAGGGGUAAGCACCAAAACAGAGGGCAGAGGCCCGUGUUGCGUGAGCACUUGUAAUGGAGUUUUGAAGUUCAAGACCCCAGAUGGCAUGCGGUUGAUAAGGUGGACAGCAGUGACGACAGCAUCAUCCCAGUGAUGACGAGGAACAUGGCCACCAAUGAGAAGAGCACGGGUUGUUUCAAGGAGAUGACGAUUCUUCCGUUCGGCAACACCAUUUUGUUGUGAUGUUUGGGGGCAAGUUGUCUCAUGAAUAAUGUCAUGUGUCGUGAAGUAAGUCUGUAAAUCAUGAUUAACAAAUUCUCCACCAUUGUCAGAGCGAAGAAUCUGUAUUCGAGCAAUUGAACUGUGUUUCCAUCUGUUUGUAAAAGGAUUGGAACAGGAAAAAUACUUCAUUCUUAUUUUUCAUCAAAUAAAGCCAUUGCAUCCGUGUACAAUCAUCUAUGAAUGUGACAAACCAAUGAAUACUAGAAUGAGUAGAAAUAGGUGAGGGUCCCCAAACAUCAGAAUGAAUUAAAGCAAAAGGAAUAGUACUUUUAUUCAUAUUUAAAGAUAUGAUGCUCUAUGACUCUUGGCUAGAAUGCAAGUGUUACAUUUAAAAUCUGAGUCCUUAAAUACAGAAAACAACUCGGGCAAUAAGUGUCUCAUCUAACCAAAAGAUGGAUGUCCCAAACGUCGAUGCCAGAGCUAAAUUUGUCGGUGCUUGUCAUCAGACGGAUGCUUUACACUAUUGGCAUGUCCCAUACUGAAGUCAUCCACAGAGUACAGCCCCCCUCUUUUAGUACCAUGCCCAAUGAUCUCCUUGGUGAGAAUAUCCUGUAGUAAACAAAAAUUGGGAUAAAUUAGUGCACAACAAUUUAGUUGUUCAGUUGCUUGACUCACAGACAUUAAUUUGUUGGACAAAGAUGGAACCAGUAGAGUAUUAGAAAGGGACAGAGAAGGUGAAAGGGCAACAGUGCCGUCCCCUGUCACAGGAUAGGUAACUCCAUUUGCAUUGGCAAUAUUUGUGCGGCGAGGUGUAGUGGUGUGCAAAAAAUCAUUCGGAUCAAAGGUCAUAUGAUCAGUGGUGCUAGAAUUAAUUAUCCAACCAGUAGUAUCUCGUAGAUCAGAAGUAUGAAAUGCAUAACCACAGUUACCUGAGACAUCCAGAACCGCGGACUAUCAGUAGGAUCUACCUGCGGGAACAAGGCUAAUGGGGGUUCGGUAGAGACAAGAGCAGCACAGCAGAAAUUACUAGCAGUUUCUCAGAGCUUGCGAGCGCGAAGGUCCUCCCACCAAUUAGGAUAACCAUUCAGCUUAAAACAGGUGUCACGGGUAUGUUUGGGGUUGCCACAAUGCGUGCAACCACUUUCAUCAGUCGGAGCCUUGGGACAGGAAGGUGGGAUGGUUUUAGGAAAUGGCACACCAGCAGCAGUAGCAUAUGACUGGAUCUGAAGGUGGGCCACAGUAAAUGAAUUAUGGGGCUGUCCGACACGAGUAGGGGGACUUGAUCGAGGCGCACUCUUGGCCGCUAAGCCAGCACCAGUGGGUGCAGAUGAACCCAUCAUCACUGCUUGUCGAACAUUUUCAUGGCGAACAUAGGCAUAAGCUUGGUCAACAGUAGGGAAUGGAGUCAUGUGAAGAACAUCACUUCGGGCCUUAUCAAGACGAUCAUCAAGGUCAUCCAAAAAUAUGUAAACUCGAUCUUCCUGCAGAAUAUCAUUAUAGCGCUGGAUAUCACUUUCAUCCUCCAUCAUAUUUGGACGACGGAAAUCAAUUUCUCUCCAUAAGCUUUGGAGAGUAUUGUAAUAGGUUUCAAUGGAGCCACCAGCUUGUCACAUACCAGAGACUCGUCGUUUCAGAUCAUAAACCUGAGAGGUGUCAGUGCCAUCAUAGUAAGUUGUGGCAAUUGCAUCCCACACUGGCUUUGCAGUCGAAAAAUGAAUGAAAUUGCCAAUCAAACUCUGCUCUAGAGAAUUGAUGAGCCAUCCCUUCACAAUAAAGUUCUCGGUGCGCCAGCGAGGAAACGUUGGAGCGGUCGAAAGAGGUUGUGGAAGAUCGCCAUUAAUAUAUCCCAAUUUGUCUUUGCCGGAGAUAUACAACUCUACAACUUGGGACCAUAGGGCAUAGUUGGUGACAUCCAACUUUAUGCCAAUCUGUGCAGCGGAAGCUUCACAGGUAAUUGUCGUCAGAAUCGUUGUAUGAUUCGGGUUCAAGGUCGUCGUCUGAUUCGAGUUCGAGGUCGUCGUCUGAGUCGAGGUCGGGGUCGUCUUGGUAGGAUCCUGAUUUAGGAUCAAUUUCGAGGUCUGAGUCUGCAUCUGCAUUAGUUUAGCCACCUGGGCACUCAACUCGGCUAUGAUUGGUUGAGAAGGAAAGGAGGAAGCAGUGGUGCUACUGCCAUGAGGAUUAGAAGAGUCAUCCUCCCCCAUGGUGGCGGCUAGGGUUUAGAAACUAGAGUCAGCAAUCCUAAGAUUGCUGCUCUGAUACCAUGCUAAAAUAUAAAAACUAUGAGAGAAUAUUUGUUUGUGGGAAUUUUUUGUGUAUUCUUCUCCUUGUAGGAGGUCAUAUUUAUAAUACAACAAAACCUGAAUGGGCAAGUAAAUAAUAAAUUCCUAAAUCCAUUUACAGUAGGAAAUCAGGAAUUAGAGUAAAUCAAUUACAAUUAUAAUAGGAAUUCUUGGUGUGUAAGUAAAGUGAGUCAAUAUCCACAAGUCAAGCCAACAAUCCCGACCCUCAUAUUAGUUGAAAAAGUAGAUGGCGAAUGCCUGAUCGAAUUGAUGGGGUCAUGUAGAAACAAGGUUCAAGUCUACCGGUCAAUAUAUAGUAAAUUUGGCUCUCUUAGCACAAAAGAAAAGAAAAAAAAAAAACUUAUCCAUUUGGAUAUUACUUGCAAAAAAAUCCAAUUAUAAUUAGGAUACAUAGCUAUGAGGCCAAAUAACUCCACAUCAAGGAAGCACCUAUGUAUUACUUAUUUAUUAGAAGGCAAAACCCACACAAACACCCUUCCAAGGAGAUACCAUAUGCUAGCUAUAUAAACUUGGAAGAAAUAUACCACUUUCAUCAAACAAAUAUGAAAGGGAAAAAAAAGAAACAAGACUUAACAUUUUUGUUGGAUUAAUAAUGCAAAAAUUAAUAGGUCAAAUAAUAGUAUUGAUAACUAAUUAAAAAUAUAUAUAGCAAAUGGGGUCCAAUCCAAUGAAAAAUGGUCUUGAUUUAGAGACCAGUGAUCUCAGGUUCAAACUCAUAGCACCUUGACUAUCGCUUGUAUUUAAAAUAUAUAUAUGUAUUAGAUAAAAGGGCAAGGAAUUUAUGUAUGUAUUGUAGUUCUUUUGUGUGAAGGCUUAAGGAAAAGUGUGAGAAAUUACUUUUAGAUUGCAUGUAUCCUUUCUCUAUCCAAAUGCAUAUAAAACAUUAAUAUACACUCAUACAUACAUCACAUAUCAUAUAUCAUGUACCUUCAUAUAUAUCAUCAUUAUAUAUCAAGCGACAACUUCUUCUGCAGGCAGCCUCUUUAUGACCUCCAACAAAUUUUCAGCACCAUGCCCAUGCUUCUCAAUUAUAGAUAGUUCUGAAUCCACUUCCUAUAAUUCCUUCCUGUGUCAGUCUUCUGUUGGGACUUUUUUUUCAGACAUAUGUAGCUUUUAUAUGAUCUGCAAACAUUCAUUCACUCAAAUCUUUAAUAUGGUUAAUUAAGAGGUAUUUAACAACCACUUCCACUUCCAAACAAAUACUUUCCUCAAUUUUAUUUCACACAAUCGUUUUGUUAAUCUCAUUUGCUACAUGCUUAAGCCUUAAUUAAGCCACCCUCAUGAGACCAUCAAAGAGAAAGAAGAAAAAAAAAAUCUCUCUUUUGGGUUUACAUGUUUAGGGCAACCUUAUAUGAAACACAGAAGGGGGGAAAAGUAAAAGGUUGGUUAAAAGGGAUGUUGGAAUGAAAGUCCUCCAAUUUUGAGGUCAUACCCUCAUUUGAAAGAUAUAUAUAUAUCCUCUUUGUUACACUUGUAUACAUAAUGCAAUGGCUUAACAAAAAUGAGCCUUUUACAAAAGGGUGCAGUUAAGAUGAUUAUAAAAGCACCUACAUGUUUUGGUUUCCUUUUCGUCCUUCAGUGGGUUGAACACCUUUCUCUCUUUUGCUUUUGGUAAAUGUCCUUUUAUCUCCUUCUUUCCUAUACCCUUUUCCCUGAUGUAACUUUGGGAAAUCCAAUCAAAACCUCACCUUUCUCUACAUUAGUAGGAAAGAGGACUAAACAAACAGCUUUACCUUCAAUUAGUUUCUUUCUCAUUUUUUGUAUCCCUUUGCAUGACAUGUUUGGAUUCAAUAUUCUCUAAUCCAUUUGAAUGACAUUGUAGAAGGAGAAAUUCAAGCCAUCAUCUAUAUGAGUUUGGCUUUGGAUUUAUAUUUUUUGACGAUAUUAAUUAUGCGCAUCGUCUGGUUACAGAUUUCUAUUUAAUUAUCGUUCUAAAAAACUAUGUACUAAACCUUAUAUGUUUGUCCUUCAAUUCAUAUCAAAAUAUUUUUUAACAUAAACAUAAUAAGGUCCCUUGCUACGUGAAAUCUCGUUUUGCAAGAGAUGUGAAUAACAUGUCGCGUAAAAUAGGGACCAUCUAAGUAAUUUAUCAUAAAAAAAUAAUAUUUAAAAUUGAAGUGUAAAAAGAGCCUUAGACCACUCAAUUUAGAUGGGUUGUGAACUUAUGAGAUUCUCUAUAAAGGGUUCAGAAAUUGGCGCAUUCUAUUGCCUUAUUUGGGCCGUCAGUUUGGGCACUGGGAGCAUUUCUACUAUGCAAAAUCAUGUUACUGGUCAAAAUCAUUCUCUUCUAAAAUUCAGUUAUACUGAUUGUCAUAUAGAACACACAUGGGUUGUGGGGAAAACACAUUAAUGAGAGAGAGAGAGAGAGAGAGAGGAUGACAAAAAUGGGACUAUGGCCUGCCCCUUUACGUGGUAUAUUUAACGUUAUAAUUGAAUUGGCUGGAAGGAAAGUGAACCACAAACAAGAGCUAGCAUUAGGACCUUACAUGUUAAAUCCUUCAAUGAAGCAAGAUUUAUUAUCCAGUGGGAAGUUCAACUCUAUGUUUUUAUUGUAGUUGCGUGAUCUGGGAGAUGACAUAGAUCCAUUAUUUUGGAUCUUUCAUAUGCUCUGAUUGUAGUUGAGUGAUCUGGGAGAUGACAGUGACCAAAGAACAAAAAUUGAAAUUCAUCAGAAAAUGGGAAAAAUAUCUGAACUCAAUAACCCUUUUUAAAUUCACCAAUAGGUGUUAGUUGGAUUAGCUCAAGAGUGAUCCUGAGUUCAAACCUCAUGGUACCGGUAUGUGUGAAUUUCACCCAUUCUCCUUCCUAUCUUUGGUCAAAAAAAGUAAAAUUAAUAACACUUCUUAAAUUCCUUAAAUAUAAAUUUUUAAUCCAUCCCAACGCAUAAGGCUUAGCCUGACCAAUCUAGGCCCACUUUUGAAAUAUCAUUUGUUUGUAUAUAAGAUACAUUGCUCUCAACAAAGUAUAUAAGAUACAUUAUAGUUUGUCUACGAUACACAUAUAUGAGAAUUUUCUAUAAUACAAUUAGUAUAUUUGGAAAUAUAAAAAAUGGAUUUUCACAUGGCAAGGCCAACAAAGCCCUGCCCAGCCCGUGAUAGUGGGCUUGGGCUAAGGUUGAAAUAUGUAUGCUAAAAUGACCCUUGAACUCAAAUCGAACCCAACGUUUGAGGGUUGGGAAAAGCUUGCUCCUUUGUUUCCACAUUCUAUCAACCCCAUCAAACCCCAUCGGCGCCACCCUCACCACCAUCGAGUCAUUCUAUAGCCCUUAGGUGAGGUCUUAUCUUUUAACUGUUGAAUCAGGCUAACCAAUUUGAUCCAACAACUAACUAAUUUGAUAUAAUGAUUAAAAGAUAGGGCCUCACCGAAAGACCAUAUUAAGGCCCUCAUUAUAGAUUUCUUGCACCACCAUCCCCCUCAACCUAGUUCUUCAAUCUACCAAUCUCUUCCGAUUGGGCCACACUCUCCUUCACCAUAAGCACACUCCUACCCAAUGAACACUAACUUUUAUAAUCCAACAAGAAUUCUAUAGUUCUUCAAUCUACCAAUCUCUUCCGAUUGGGCCCUCAUUAAUCCACCCGCUAAUAACAUGGCAAAACAAAAGUUUCUGUUUGGUUUAACCAAAGUAUUCAAAACCAACCUUUUUCAUUUUCAUCUUCCAAGUAUUGACAGAGAGGAAACGGCCAAAGAGAAAAUUCCAGGAACUCAUGAUUUUUCACCCCAAAAAUAAUAUUUCCAGGAACUCCAGCCUCUUACCAUGAACACGUGUAGCAAACCCAGAGGCUCUGUUGUGAAGGAUCUCAUGAGCCACAAAAGAAAAGAUUUCUAUGGACCCCAUCAGAAUCCCAACAACGUAUAACGGUCAACAAUAUUCAGCUUCUUCCUCAUUUGCCUCUUCUUCAUUUUGUCCAUAAAAAAUACGGACAAAAAAAAGAAGAAGAAGAAGAAGAAAUGGAGCCUCUUUGCCCAAACUUGGAUCUCAAGCCCACACCUUUCUCACCAAUUUCACCAAGAUUCUCAAAACCCAAUUCUCUGUCAGUGCAUUCACAUCGGUUUUCAUGCUCGGAUCGGCGUGUGACCAAGAAAUGGAGGGUGCCAAUUGUGCCCAGUUGGUUCAAGGCUGCUAGUAAUGUAAGGGCUGAUGAAGCUCAGGUUUGUGGUCAGGAGCUGAUGAGGUCAGUUGGAAAAGGCUUGCUUGCAUUGGCUGCUGCCGCUGCUGCAAAUUAUUCCAUCUUUUGUGAUUCUCCGGCUAUGGCAGAGUCGCUUACUGUUGCUUUUCCGGUUUCACGCACCACUGAGGUGAUAGAUUUUGUUUCCUGUUUGAUUGAGUGUUGUUGGGUUGUGUCAUUUGUGUCCAUCCAAUAUUAUAAGUAAAAAUACACUCUAGAAGAUUUCACACACUUUUAAGAAAUGGAAAAGAAAAACAGAGCAUUUUGUAGAGUAUGAAUUAAACAUAUUUUCGUGUUUGACAUUAACGUGACCUGUUUAUUAUUCGUAUUAGUAUGUGCCAAUUGUCUUAUGUUUGGGUUCUUGAGGUAACAAAAUUGCCACCCUCGAUUCUAUUCUCUUGCUGUUGUUUCUUUCUUCUUCUUCUUCGUCUUUUGUUUUGUGUGUAUGUGUGUGUUGUUUUGAUAUAUAAUUUGUGUUUGAUUGAGUGACUGUAAUGAGUUUUGCUAAUUUCAUUAGAUUUCUUUUACCAAUUUUUUUCUGUGUGUUACUACUUUUGCCAAUAGAUCACAACACAGUUAAUACUCAGUUGGCUGUACUUGGAUCACAAAUUGAUGACAGUUACUAAGUAGAUAAUUAUUAUUUUUCCAGGUGAAUUCUGUUCAGAGAACUCUUGUGGAGACUUGGGGUUUGAUUAGGGAAACUUUCGUAGACCCAACUUUUAAUCAUCAAGGUAUUUGGUUACUUCAUCCUUCUUUUAUCGUUGUUAACUGACCGAGGAAUGCACACCAACGGUUGCAUUUGAAGAUCAUUUAUACUCCAAAUAAUGUUCAAUAUCUAAUUGUGUGGUUCUUUCCUGAAAUGAAACAGCUAUAAUAUUUGGAAAACUGUGUUCUUUAGUGUUGAAGACGAUAAUUCUUUUUCUGCAGAUUGGGAUCUUAAGUUGCAGCAAACAAUGGUAGAAAUGUUUCCCCUGAGGUCAGCUGAUGCAGCAUAUAUGAAAAUCAGUGGAAUGCUUUCUACUCUCGGUGAUCCCUUCACACGGAUUAUCAGUCCCAAGGUCUUUCAAUUCAUUCCAGUCUCUGCUAUGUCAAUUCCAUGUUAAUUUAAGACAAUUGCAAUGCAUAUUUGAUUAACAAAUUGAGUUGAACUGUGAUAUGUCCACUUAUGGCUAUCAUGACUGUUUAACUGUGAAUCUGUGAUAUGUCAAACUUAUAUAAAAAGUAAUUACAGCUAUCAAGCUAAUUACGUUUUUCACUCACAGGAAUAUCAAAGUUUUCGAAUUGGAAGCAAUGGAAAUCUACAAGGGGUUGGCCUUUUCAUAAGUACUGAACCAAGAACAGGCCAUUUGGUUAGUGAUGCCAAAUAAUCUUUUGAUAUUUCCAAUCUUUUCGUAAAUAAGCAUACGGAAAAUUGAUAUAUGUUGUUCCUAGGAUAUGUACAAGUCAUUUGACCUUGUGCUUGAAAUAUGUUAAUAAACCAAUAUAUGGUGGUUCUACAAAACCUACAAAAAUUUAUUGCAAUUUGUCUCUUGUAUUUUUUCUAAGCUAAUUAGCCGUUCAUUCGUUAUAUGGUGUUUUUACUAAUUUAGCUGUUCAUAUAGUUGCCAAUUAUAAAUCUUAUCGCCUUAAGUGCAUUAUCCAAGUUUGGCUUAUGUUAUUUCCAGCAUUUCGGAAUGUGAAAUGAGGAACUGUGCCUUUAUGACUGACCCGGUGAUUAUAUUAGAAUAAAAACGUCAACUUUCCUCUGUAUAUCAAGCAACCAAUCUGUUUCAUUAUAAAAUUUUCCGUUAUUAUUUUUGAAAGAAGUUGUGCUAAUGGAUGAGCUCUUGAUAUGCUAAUUUAGAUUUUGUGAGCUGUGUUCUGAUGUAGGAGAAAGAGAUGCAUUAAUAUGCUAAUUUACCACAUGUAAAAUUUAUUUUUAUUGGACAUUGCAGGUGGUGUUGUCUUGUGUAGAGGGUAGCCCGGCUGCUCGUGCUGGUAUACAUGAAGGAGAUGAGUUGGUUGAAAUUAAUGGUAAAUCAAGAUUCAAACAUUUGGCAUUUCUUUCUGUGAUGCUGAAAAUGGAAAAAUCCUACUUAAAAUCUUUUUGGUGGUUGAAUCCUAAUAGUGGGACAUGGUUGACAAUGUUUUGAUUCAAACCAUCAAAAUUAUUUCAAUCUGUUGUGGAUUAAUCUGGCUCAAGCGAAAUCAUAUUCUUCAUUUAUAAACCUAAUGCUGCCAUCAGACUACAGAUACUUGAGAUUGUCUACAUUCCAUUUCUCAAAUUAUAAAUUGGGUCUGCCCCUUAUCAGGAACAAUGAAAAUGCUCUAACGAGAUUAUCAAGAUCCAGUGUCAAGUACUAAUACACUCGGAUUCCCAGUAGUAUUUCUAUGCAAGAUGCUCCUGAAUCAAGAAAUGUAUUCCAAAAUUCCAACUUUUUCAAUGUCUUCUGUUUACAUUUAAACUGGCUUGUCAUUAUUUCAAUACACUUUAUGAGUUCAGGAGAGAAUCUUGAUGGUGUUGACACUGAAGUAGCAGUUCAGAAACUUAGAGGUCGAGUUGGAACAACUGUUACAGUAAAAGUUCAGAGUGUAAUCAUCAACUCUCUUUUUUUUUUUUUCCAAGUUUCAGCGGAAAUUAGUGAUUGUGAUCCUGUAGAGUGUGGCCAGCAGUUGCAAAUGGCUUCAGCUAACUAAUUUUACGUUUUCUGUUAUGCAGAGCAAUGAUUUGGGAAGUGAUUCUAGUAUACAAGAGGUACUAGGCCAUCUAUUAUUUUGGUUUUCUUAUAGUUUCAUUCAUUUUCAAAUGCACUCUUUGUGAUCCCUCAUGCAUCUUCAAAGUUUUUAAAUUAACAGCAUCAAGCAGAAGCAUGCAUUUAAUUUCACAAUUAUUUUAGUUAAUUGAUCUGAAAAAUGACUCGUCUGCUUGAAGGUGAAACUACCUCGUGAGUACAUUAAGCUUUCCCCAAUUUCAACUGCUACCAUCCCUCAUAGAACUCCAGAUGGACGUCUUACCAAAACGGGUUAUGUGAAGCUGUCAGCCUUCUCUCAGGUACUUCACUUUUUCUCUUGGCAAUGCAGAAAAUAAAAUUUCCUAAUUUAUAACAAUAUUUGGUUGAAAGUACUUUGUAUAUUCUGAAAAGUCUUCCACCCCUUCUGACAGACAGCUGCAGCUGAUAUGGAAAAUGCUAUUAAUGAAAUGAAGAGUCAGGGUGUACACUCAUACAUACUGGAUUUACGCAACAAUCCGGUAACUUUUUCAUUCUCGUUUACAUGAAAUGAAAUCUUCUGAUAGUUCAUUUUCCUGCUUUGGAUUUAUGAUUAUUCAGCAUGUUUAUCUUCUUCUUCUAAUUAAAUUCUUCAGGGGGGACUGGUAAAAGCAGGACUUGAUGUUGCCCAAAUUUGGCUAGAUGGGGAUGAAACUCUAGUGAACACAAUUGAUCGGGAAGGGAAUUUGCUGCCUAUCAACAUGGUCAAUGGGCAUGCUAUAACACAUGAUCCACUUGUUGUGCUUGUAAGUUUUGAACUUUAUAUGUGAAGUUACGUGCUUUACAUCAGAAAAGUAUGCAGUUUUGUAAAAGUUGCAUAUACAUUUAUUUUCUUAAAACUGGUGCAGUGCUGUCUAAAAUCAUGCCAAACGCAUUCUUGUUAAUUUUGCUAGAUAUAAAGAUUUUAUUUAGAAAUUCCAAUGCAAGUGGCAAUGCAUGAUGUCCAACUUUGAUUUAGUUAUGUUCUGAUUUAGUUAUGUUCUCUCAUGCAAAUUGAUAUGUGUGCAGACUGUCUAAAGUUGUCACACAAAUAGUUGCUUCUUCUUUCAUCUUCAUAAUCACAAUGGAUUCAAAAUCUCUACUAUUUCAAACAGGUUAAUGAGGGCAGCGCAAGUGCAAGUGAGAUAUUGGCAGGGGCACUACAUGACAAUCGCCGAGCUACUCUUGUUGGGCACAGAACCUUUGGGAAAGGAAAAAUUCAGGUAUGAAAAUUUUUGUGUGUAGUUAAUUGCAUCAACCAGAAAUUUUGUUAACUCAAACUCUACUUGACUGUUACAAAAUGCUUAAGCUCCAUUUCCAAAUUACGAACUUCAUGGAUUGCUGUGAUGUCCUUCUCUGCAAGCACCAUACCUCCUCUUGUUUUCUCCUUUCACUGAAUUUAAAUUACAUGUAAUUUGUAAUCUCACCUUUGAUUUCCACUGCUACACUUAAUUCUAAAUUUAUCAGGGUCAAAGAAUCUGUCAUGGUGUCUAUUCUACAUCUUUAUUAAGUCUCAAACUAAUGGCUAUGUUGCUGCUUGUUUCCCUAAUGCUCCUUGCUACAGAGUGUCACAGAGCUGCAUGAUGGAUCAGCGUUAUUUGUCACAGUGGCCAAGUAUUUAUCGCCGGCGCUUCACGACAUAGACCAGGUUGGCAUUGCUCCUGAUGUGCAAUGCACAACAGAAAUGCUCAAUUCUUCCAAGGAAUCGACGUCGAAGGAGAAGAGCUCAGUCUCAUCUUUAGAAGCAGAUUCUUGUGUGUUGGUAGCUGAACAUGAAUUGGACAUCCAGGAGUCCAAAGGCACUGCGUCUUGAAGACAGGAUCAUACACUUUAAAUUUGUAUAGCGUAGAAAUAGAAGAUAUACACGUGAAAAAGAAUAUGAAAUAGCACAGGGCCUGCUUAUACUUUUGUGUUUGUACAUCUUGUGCAAGUAAGAAGUAGGUUAUAGUGUAUUCCUGAUCAAUUGAAAAAUCAAUUGAAACUUUUGGGUUUUACCAGAUCGAUCAAUUUCCUACCAAUUUAUUUUUAGACUUUGUCAAGUUGGUGACCACUUUUCCUAAGUCAGAAAUCUGAAAACCGGAAUCAAAAUGGUUGCUAUUGAAAGUUUUGGAUGUAGGGUUUGUGGUCCUCUAAUCUGAAUUCCAAAUUGAUCAGGUUCGAGGUUUUCUUUAACUUAAACAAGACAAGUAGCGUUUGAUGUUAACACAAAUGGAAAGGGAAACGUAGAACCGAGUUAGAAUAAGGAUAGGUUAAGAGUUCAAUCUCUUCCAAUAUAAGAAAAGUAAAACACUUAAACUCAACAUUGCGAAUCAUAGUCCUAUUUUAAUUUAAAGUAGGAUUGGAUGUAGGCAGGUUUAAGUUGAACCAUCCAAAAACACCCAAAAAUAAAAUUUAAAAAACGAACACAAAACACAAAUAUUGGUGUUGUAGCUGGCCAAAAAGAAAAAUUAGGACUUGGACAGCUCGGAGUUAGAUAGCCACUUUUACUCAACACUCAAUACUUUGAGGCUGGCUGGCUGGCUGGCUGUGAUUGGUUGGCUUUUUAUAGGUCGGCUGGCAUGGAGGACCAUACCAAACCUCAUGUGAUAGGACAAUUAUUUGGUUGAUUAUUCUCCUUACAAAAUUGGUAGUUUCAUGAUUUCUUUCUUUCUUAAGGUGGACAGUGGGUAGCCACAAAUCAAUUUGGUUUGAUUUAUUAUGAUUAUUUGCUUCUAUAUAUGGGAUGGGAGGAAUGUGCAGCGUGUGGACCCCACAACAAUGAGAAGUGUGACAACGUUCAAAUGGAUGGCAACGUCUAUCAACAGCUCUUUUCUUCUGGGGUUAGUUUGAUUUUGGUUUGGCUUCACGACACACAUGCUGAUAUUAAACAUUCUUCAAUUUUACGUUGUUUCAUUGGCCAACUCGUGUCGGUGCCUCUCUUAGCACUUUCAUUAGUGACUAAGAGAGGAGGUCACUAAUUAUAUAUUUGAAUGUUAGUGACCAAUAUUGAAGGUGUACACAUGCAUUUUCAAUUUGUUGAACUUUUUAUAUCCUAACAAAAAAGUUAAUAGUUUUCUUAGAUACAAUUAAUAGUUUUUUUUUUUCUUUCUCUUAUCUAUUCCAACUACAUAAUUGUAUCAAUAGUUAGAGCAUUUUUAAUGAAGUUGUAUAAGCAGGUGUAUGUAAAAUGUACAUUUUUUAUUGUCGGAAUCACCUGUAAUAGACAGGUGUAAAUGAUUGUAAAUAUGCAUCACAGUCGUGGAGAUGCAAAAUGAGAUACACAAUUGUAAUUUUUUUUAUUUUUUUUACAUCUUUUUUAUGCGGAACCCACACGAAAAAUAAGUUUCAAGUAGUUUCGGGAAAGAAGAAAUAAUCAGUAUAUCUUUUUAUUGAAUCCGGGCAAACCAAUUAAUGAAUCAAAAGAUCCAACAAAAUCAAUCCUUCCAAGAAAACCCAACUACAUACACCAACUGUACUAAUAAUCAAAUAACAAAUUUCCAUGAAUCUGAAAUCUUUCAGCCAAACCAAUAUAUAAAACCCAAGCUUGGCAUCUCCUAAAAUUAAUUCAGGUAGCGUUUGAACAAGGCGCAAAAUGAGACCAGAAGCGAUGCUCCGACAACUACGCUGUUCACAGGCAAAGAGUAAGCCGCUCCAGCAUCCAUCGGGGACGGCGCCGGGGCGCUCUCCUGAGCCGACACCAUCGCAGCCAAGACCAGCAUCUGGACGAAGAAGAAGGCUCCGGAGAUGCUAACUUGCGCCAUUGGUGACUUGAACUCGGUAAAUGAUUUUUUCUAAAGUAAUGUAGGAGGCUUUGAGUUGAGAGUGUUUAUGCGUUGUGAGAAAAAUGGAGGAGCAGAGUGUUUCUUUAUAUACUGGAAGAUGGAGCGGCGUGUGGACCCCACAAUAUGAGAACGUUCAAAUGGAUGCUGGCAACGUCCAUUAACAGCUAGUGUGCGUGUUCACCCACUUCGACAACGCUGCUGGUGACUAGUGUGGCGUGUGAAAGUUCGUUUCGUCGUCAGUCGGCGCCGUAUAUGAUUUUCACGCGCUAAUUUUUUUUUAAUAUUGUGGUAACUUAUUUCUACUUAUGCAAGUAUUUUUUGAAUGUUACGAAUAACGGUUGUUAAAAAAAACAUGAAUGUUGACAUAAACUUCUAUAUAUGAUUCAUUUAUAUCUUAUAUUUUGUAAAUAUCAUGCCCCCAUUAUACGAAUAAACUGGAUUAUCUCUCCUCGUAUUUGUGGAGGGAUUUUCUCCCUAGUCGAUUUUGUGUUAGGUUUUUGCUUUCCUUGUGUUUUGCAAGGUUUGUCUCACCUCUAGUUGUUCUAGGGUCUUACUACUAGACUACCAACCUUUUGGGUUGGAUUUUUGUAGAUUUGUGCAGAUCUAUCUUUUUAUGGCAUUUGUUGUGUGUACUUGUAUAUUUGAGGUUGAUGAAGUGAAUCCUCAUAAGAUUUAUGUGUUAAGGAGUGAAGCUGUUUUAUUUUGUAAAUUUACUAUGAAUUGGCGCUUUAAAUUUAUGACUGUUUGGGAGACGAUGUGGCCAUGUGUUACAAUUACUAGAAAGACAAUAAUCAAAUAUUAGCCAUAAAAAAUUAUUGUUUAGCUGUUACCUACAAUAAUUAGUUUUAUAUUUAUUAUAUUUAAAUAAAAUGUCAUCAAAUUAUUAAAAUGUGAGAGAAUAAGUCACAAAUAAUAGUGCGGAGUAGACAAAAUCAUUAAUCAACCAUCAACUUGUCACCAAUACCAAUUUGGUUACUUUAAAAAAGGUGGCCUUUGCAUUUUUCUUUCUUUUUUUAUAAUGACAACUCUUAUAUAUUUAGCUUUAUUACAAUGCCCCUGGAGUAUAUACUGAAGUUCAGAUUGCACUCUAAAAUACAAAAUGUUGUGAGCAAUCAAUGUAACUUUAAAUUGUCUAUUAAUUUUAACUUAUUUUUAUGACGUGGCGUCGUAUAGAUCCACACAUUAUAGAUGUGACAUGAAUACAAAUUUGUACUUACGAACAAAUUAACAAAUUGAAAAAAGAAAGAAAACAACUUGUUUCUUUCUUUUUUUAAUUAUAAAUUUUAGUAGUUUGUUUAAUUCGCCAUAGGUGCAAAUUGUUGAUUUUUAUGAAUUUUUCUUUUAUAUCAAGAACAAUUAAUAGUUCCGGUAACAUUUGGGUAUGAUUUGUGCAACAUUGCAAUACAAAUUAGUGACAAAUUUGUUUCGGGAAAAAAAAAAUCACUUUUUAUUACAAUGUAAAGAAUCAAAUAUCCAACAAAAUCAACCCCUUAACAAAAUCCGCAUACACAUUAUCCCCAAAAACCAAUGCAUAACAAAUUUCCAAUGAAUCCAAGCUUGCCGUAUCUCAUUCUGAACAAAUUAAUUCAAGUAGUGCUUGAACAAGGCAAAAACUGAGACCAUAAGCGACGCUCCAACAGCUGCGCCGUUUACAGGCAAAGAGUAAGCCGCCCCGGCAUCCAUCUGUGCCGGUGCCGGUGCCGGCGCACUCUCCUGCGCCGAAACCGUUGCCGCCAAGACGACCAAGACCAGCAUUUGGACGAAGAAGAAGGCCCUGGACAUGCUGAUUUGUGCCAUUGCUAAGAAAGUUAUGAAGUUUUUGGUGGAGAAGCUUUGACUUGGAUGUGAGGUUUUGUUUUUCUUUGUGUUUUGGGGUUUUGAGUUGUUUUAGGGUUGGGGAGUGAGGGGUCGGGUUUAUAUAGGGGGGUCGAGGGGCGUGUGGAGCCCACAGCGACAACGUUCAAAUGGAUGGCAUUUGCCCCACACCUUUUAAUGAAAAUGUUGUCGAUAAAUUUACUCUUCUGCAAACGACCUCUAAGGAACCAAGUAAAUGAAAAAGAAAGUAAUUAUACCAUAUCCACCAACCACUCUAUAUCCAUCUUAAAAUUAUCAUCUCUCAUAUUCAAUUCUCUGAUUGUUUGCUUUUCGACAAUAGAUAAGAAAAUUGUUGUUUUGGAGUAAACUUCCCUAGUGAAAUAGGUAAGAAAAACAGUCACCUUUCAUCAUGUUUUCACAAUUUUUCAUGCACAAUAUUACUUAAUCUCAAAAUUAUGAAUUAGACGUACGAAACCUAAACGAAAUGCAUGAAUAAUCAAAUAGUGGCCUAGAUUGAUGGCACCGCCACACUAUCACCAUUAACACAUCUACCAACCACCACCACAUAUUUAUAGAUGAAAAUUAAGUUAUGUGUUUUAGUGGCAGUUCUAGAAUUUGAAAGCCGAUCGGGUAAAACUUAUAUAUAUUAAAUUCUACGGUACUAAUGAAUUUCAUUAAUAAAUCUAAAAAGAUACACAUAGUGAAGAGAGACGUAAUGAGCCUUAACCUCAAAUGCAUCUAUAUCUACAAAUGCAAAAACUAAAAUCCAAAUCAAAAGUAAAAUUAAAAGAAAAAAAGAAAAAAAAAUAUUUCACAUUUAAAAAAAAGGAGAAAACAUGGGACUACAUUAAUUUUAAAAAAAAAACAACAACAUCAUGGAGCGCUUCUUGAUUCCACAAUUGGAGAUUUCAGUUUAGCCUUCUGGAUCUCAUCUCUUGGGGUUUGUGUGAGACAAAAAAAAAUUAAUAAUCAUAAUUUUUAAUUUAAUUUGAAAAGAAGGGAAAAAAAGAGAGAGAGGAGAGAAGAGAAAAGGAAAAGAAAGAACAAAGAAAGAGAGAGAGAGGAGAGAAGAUAGAAGGAAAAAAACGAAGAAGAAAAAAGAGGAGAGAUGAAAGAAGGAAAAGAAAGAAAAAAAAAGAGAAGGAAAAUAACGAAAAGAGAGAGAGAGAGAGAGAGAGAGAGAGAGAGAGAGAGAGAGAGAGAGAGAGAAGAAGAGAAAAAAAAGGUUUGUAUAGGUUUAAUUUAAGUGGGCUGGACAUAUGUAGUGUAGGUAAUAUUUUUUUAAUAAACAUUUGGGUUGGGCAUGAGCCCAGCCUGCCAUAGGCUAGAACGCCCCUGAUGUGUUUAAUCCUAUUUUCUUUUAAGAUUAGUCAAACAAGAAACUUCACAAAUUUUGCAACAUUAACUCUUAUUUUCACAAAGCAAUCUUAGAUUUCCUCAUCCAAACGCAGUGUAAUGUUGUGCAUAAUGUUUUCCUUACUUUCUAUUAGUUCUUUAAUGUUUUUUGGGAUUCAUUUGUGCUUAUUUGAGUGUGUUUAGGUAUUGUUUAGUAUAUUUUAGGGUUUAUAGGUUUAAGAUUCAAAAUCUUAAACCUAUUUGUUUUAGUUGUAUGGGCUAUAUAGGCCAUGCCCUUUUUUUUUAGUUGUCAAUACCCAUGUAGUCUCUCUCUCCCUAGCCCAUGCAUUUUUUUUUUUAAUUUUCAAAUCCAUGUUCUCUCUUUUUCUUAUUUUCUUCAUUUCUCUCUCUCUCUCUCUCUCUCUCUCUCUCUCUUCUUUUCCUCCUUUCUCUCUUCUUCUUCCUAUUUCUUUUUUUUCCCCCUUUCUCUUGUUUUUUUUUCUUUCAUUUCUCCAUUUUUUAAUGGUCUGGAUCUACUACGAAUUGAGCUUUUUCCCACAGUUUCUUCUUCCUUUUUUUUUUAUUUUUUUUUGUUGCUUUUCUCUUGUUUUUUUUUUCCUUUGUUUCUCUUUUUCUUCUUAUGCGUUUCGCUUUUUUCUCUCACACGUGUUAUAAAGUCCAUUUUGGUGCGAUAUAGCCCUCAUUGUUGAAAUUUCCUACAUAUGUAAGGUAAAUUUAGCCCAUAGAGUUUUGAAAUCCUGAAUUCGUCCCUACUUUAAUUCAAAUUAUUUUUAUGUUGUGCAAAUCUCAAGAAUAAUAUGAAGUGAGUUUAAGUCGAUAGUAUUCUAGAAAAAAUUUGUUUUAAAUUCUUUUUGCACAAAGGAAGAGCGACAAAUUAGCCUUAAAGAAGCAAAUUCAUUCGUGCUUUGGCUCAAAAUUUUCAUUUUCAUCUUAGUUAUUGCCUUCAUAUAUCUUCAUAAUUUCCAACACAGUAUGAUCGCUCAAUGUUUAUAACGAUCAAUCUACACUGGCCAAGGACCUAUUCUUUCAAAAGAAAUAUGGUGCACAUUUUCCAAUAAAUUAAAAGGUGCAUGUCCUUAUUAGUGACAAGCACUUUAAUCUUCAAGUUUCUUUAACCUUUGGAUGUAAGUUAGGUAAAUUUCUUGUUCUCUUGCCAGACAUGUUAUAAUAUCCAGAGAUGUUCGUUUAAACGCAAAUAUAAUCAUUAAUUUAUUUUAUACUAACAAACAAACAACAAAAUAUAUAAAUUUGUCAUGUGUAAUCAAGCCAUAGAUAACUUGUAGAACUUUACAAUAUUAUUCAAAUUAGGUGAUGGUUAAUACCAAUUAACCAUCAAAUACAGAGAAAGUAGGAUAUCGCGAUGGUGUUCAUAUGCCUCAAAAUUCAAAAACAGUAUAUCUUUUUUCCGGAUAUUAAAGCAUAACACUCACCUUAUCAUUAUCAUAUAGUUUACAUUAAAAAAAAAAACAUCCCAAAACACACAUAAUAAGGAAAAUGUGUCAAAUCCAACAAUGUCCAUGUAUCACAACAGCUCCGCUGCACAUCCAAAACUCAGAACCCCACAUCCAUCCAUCCAUUCUAGCAAAAAGCAAAAGCAGCUGUAAGAGAGACCAACAUAGAAGAACAGAUCAACGCCACGGAAACCGGAGAAGCAAACCCGGCUCCGGUCACCGGUAACGGGGCAGGUGGUGUGGCGGUAUUCUGUGCCAUAGUUUUGGUCACAUAAAAUAAUGCAGCAACCAUGACCAUAAGAAUUCUAGCUGAAGAUGUGCCAAACCGUGCCAUUUCUCUGUAAAAAAAAUAGGCACAGAAACUGAAAGAUUUAGACAAAGGUAAAGAAAGGGAAUGAGGAAUUGAUUAAUUGAGUUUGUGUUUUUGUUGAGAGCAAUGUGGUGCAUGAAUUUAUAGGAGACUGGUUUGUAUGUGACCAAUUUCUUGGCCUGCCUUUUUGGACACGGCUAAUGGGACCAAUUAAAGCAAUGGCUGGCUGGCUUCACCACAACAUGGACAUGGGAACUACAGACAUUUCUUGAUGAAUGAUAAGAAAGUUGGUAUGCAAUCACCUUCAUGCACUCAAUCCUUUUUGCCGUGCCUUAAAUUAAUUUUAGUAGAGACUUGUGAGUGCACACACACAAGUUUAUUUUAUAUAUUAUCAAAUCAAAUCCCCUAUGAAUUUCAAAGAAAAUGGUACCAUGUAUUAAUACAAGUUUAGUGUUUAGUUGGGUCAGUCUUAAAUCAUUUUGUCCAUUUUUUUUUCUUUCAAACAAUCAUUUUAUACACUUGCAAUUAUUAGAAUUAGUUAACGCAAGCAGCAAUAAACUUGUAGCUCAAGUGAUUAGUUACCAUUUGCACUCGAGGUCCUGUGUUUAAAUACCCCUCCCUCGAUAUUGAUUGUAUUAUAAAAAUAAAAAUAAAAGUUAACAUAUAGCAUAUACUAUGCAAUGUUUUGCCAUCUGUUGGUAAAGUGAUGCUAUCAUAAAGAGCUGUGGUGAUUCGUGGUGUACAUCUAAAAAAGGUUAAGCUGUCCUUGUAAAAGAGCAAACUUGUGCAGAGAGAUAAUGAACCUAAAAAUAAUUUCAACCAGAUGAGACUUGGAAAAUAGAAAACUUGAAAUUAACUAAAGCAUGAUUUAUGAUUUGGGAUACGAUUAGUGAUUUUUCACUUUGCAAAUGUUACAUUAUUAAAAGUGAAAGAUAUAUGGGCUCAAGUGAAUGAGCAGCCGCUUAAGGGGAAGCUCUUGGGCUUGCAUUGCUAGGCCUAGACUUGUUUGUGGGUAGUUUUUGUUCAAAUUAAAACUAGGAUUCUGUGUUUAUAAAAUGCACCCUACUCUUUUGAACACCUUAAAACUAAGAAUUUGUACCUGGGAUGAUUUGGUAUUAUAAAAUGCUUUCUUUUUUUUUUUUAUUGAUAUGAGAUUUGAUAUAUUUGGACAUGAUAAGAUAACGAGUCGAAAAUAUGCUUGAAAUAAUUUCAUAUUAUAUGAAACUAAUGCACGCUAUAUAUUGAAACACGACAGGUUGCCACGUCUAUGGACACACCCAUUCUAAGAAUUCACAGUAUCCCAAAGCAAACCUUAAAAUUUUGUCCCGAAAAAACUAUUUGCCGAAAAGAAUUUUAAUUUUAUUAAUCUCAAAACUUGGAAAAAAGAAAAGUAAAACCUAACAAAAUUGAAGAAAUACAGACAUGAAUAAGAAUAUUUGUAUUCUCUCUUACAAUGAUGAUUUUGUGUUUUUUCCCCUUGAAAACACUAGGCUAUUGAGAUCUAAUCAAGAGAAGAUUGAGAAUCAAAAAGUAAAAAACACCAUUCAAAUUCCUAAUGUCAUGCAAAGCCAAACACGCAAGUACGUAGCUAGCUAUUCGUCAACUACAACACUUACUUGACCACAAGUGUUUCAUAUUCUAAUAAUAACCAAAAUCCUCCCUAUAAAAUUGUUCAUAAUUGAUUUGAUCAGUACUACUACUAAUCACCCUUAAUCAGUUGCUUGAACCAAAGCAAAACUAGCAAAGUGUUCUCAUUAUUUUCAUCUCAAAGCCAAUCAACUCAAAGCUCACAUUCAUCAAACACCAACCAUGGACAUGAAGAUCAAGAUCUCCCUUGCCAUCCUUCUAUUUGCUGCCUUGAUGAGUGUGGUCUUGGCUGAUAAUAAGGAAGCUCAUCCCCCGAAGCACUCAGGCGGCGCACAUGCCCCAAAGCACUCAGGCGGUGGCGCGCAUGCCCCGAAGGGCGCAGCUUCUGCCCCAGAGGGCACAGCUUCAGUCUCAGCUGAAGCUCCUGCCGCGGCCAAGGACUCCGCUUCGGCGCCGCAAGCAUCAAGCAGUACUACCCCCACUACAUUGUCCCUUGUUGGCUCUUUGGCUGGUGCCUUCCUUUCAUUUUUCUUUGUCUAUUACUUGCAGUACUAAUUAAGCUCAGAGAAUAGGAGAUUGUUUUUAGCUAUAUAUGAAGGAGAAUGAGGUAAUGACGAGAUUUUUAUGUACUUGGAAGAACAUGAUGGUCUAUAUCUUUGUUUUAGAUAUAUUCACCAUUAGAUAAUCAUGGAGUGAAGUUUGCACGACAAUCACCUUUUCAUUUUAGUUACAUUAAGCAAUUUACACUUUAUUUUCUUCAAAUGUUCUUUCCAUUUCAGAAUUAUUUUAUGGCUAAAUGUCACUUUUGGUCCCUGUAGUUUGGCACUUCAAUCACUUUUGACCAUAUAGUUUCAAUUUCGUCAAUUUUGACCCUGUAGUUUCGUAUAGUAUUCCUGUCAAUUUCUUUGACGGUGCAAGGGGCAGUUUCGUCAACCCAAAAUCCUUGAGCAUAAAAGCUCAUUUGAAACUCCCUUCAUUUCAUAUUAGGGCUUCAAAUCGGUCAUUUGGGUUUAUGGUUCUUUAAAAAUUGGGAUUAGUGGUAAAAUUUCGAGCCCUAAUAUGAAAUGAGGAGAAUUUCAUACAAGCUUUUACGCUAAAGGGUUUUGGGUUGACGAAAUUACCCCUUGCAUCGUUAAAAAAAUUGAUAAGAAUACUAACAUGUCCUUGAAUUGCUACAAAUAUGAAACUACAAUGGCAAAAUUGACGGAACUGAAACUACAAGGUCAAAAGUGGUUGAAGUGCUAAACUACAGGGAUCAAAAGUGAUUUUUGGCCUUAUUUUAUUAUAUUGUAUAUAUGUUGAAAGAUUGUACAAAUUAAUUUAAUGUUUAACGAAUUUAUAUGGGACCUUUGCAUCGAUGGGUUUCAAAAUUAAGUUUGAUCAAGGUUGAUCAUUAAGUAAACUUGAUACUAUCGCAAGUGAUAUUCAAUUUUGACAGUGGAUGAAAUAAUACGUGUAUCUACUUGGUGAUUCUUCAUCAUCUUGAUGAAUAGUAUGGGAAGUCUACUUGAUUGUUUUAUUUUUUUGCCAAAUGUUUGGCUGGUUUUUCUCUAGUAUGAAGGUCUCCUCUUUUGAAGAAGGAUCGAGUAUCUCUUAAUAUGAAGGAUUCAACACUGUUAGCUUCUAUUUAGCUAAUGUUUUUAGCUUUUUUUGACAAAUUUGUAAUCUUAUAUGUAAUCAAUUAAGCUCAAGGAAUUUAGGGUAGUUUAAGUUUGCAUUUCAAGAUGAUUACAGAAAUUGAUAUCAAUCUUGUCAUGGCUCAAAUGGAAUCAAGAUUCUUGAAGGUAAAAAUCAUACAUUAAUGCAUUGCAUGCGUUAUAGUGUUCUUAUGUAUGACUAGUCAAAUAUGCAUGUACAUUCAUCUUUAGUUGUCAUGUAUAUAAUUUCUCUUAGCUCAUCUUUAGAAAUUAGGAAUUGGGUAUUUGCCAGAAAGUUAACAUUGAAGAGCUUUCGAGGCUACAAAACAAAGAUAAUUUGUGCAUUCAUUUAUAAUGGGCAUCCUUAGGAAAAUUAGCAUCUAUAUCACAAUACUUUGUCUAGAUGACUAUAUAGGCCAAAUAUUUCCAGCACAAUAUUUUUAAUCAAGGCAUGUGAUUUUGCUUAUGAUAAGUCCAAUAAUUGGCUCCCAAGUGUCCUUUUGACCUACCAAAAAUGCUGAGGCUGGUCUGGACUCACCAAUUCUCUCAUUUUAUAUUUUGCAUAUGGGUUUUGAGAGAGAGAGAGAGAGAGAGAGAGUGUGUGUGUGUGUGUGUGUGAUUGUGCAUAAAUUAGGUUUUUCCUUUUGGAAGAAAAGUUCAUGGGUCCUUUUGGGGCUUUCAUUGUGUUGUGUUAGCUUUUGCUACUUGUUUAAUUUUUGGCUUCCUUAAACAACAUUAUAUUUGCUAUUGUAAAAUCACCAUGCUCAAGCUUAAUUAGUCCAGAACAGAUUAGGAUUGAAGAGGUCUACUAUGACUAUGACAAAUUAUGACUCAAUGCAAAUAAAGAGAAAAAAUAAAAAUCAUGCAUCGCAUAUUUCAGCUUAGUUGAGUAAAUGUGAUGAUUAGUCAUCCAUUUACUACCAGCUCAUUUAAAAUCUCGCGUGAGAUUCUCACGUGUUUCAUGAUUAGCCAAUUGUGGUCUUCCUAUCAUAACGAUUUCGUAUGUCUUAUUAUUAUGCCAAUCAUUAGUCGACAUCUGAUUUCCUUUUCUCACCUAGUUUUUGGGGAUAAAAUAUAUUUUUGGCUCCAGUAGCCGUCACAGACUCAGUGUAAAAUUGUGUGCUUCAUCGUUCUUCCUUUCUCCGAGGUCUGCAUAUUUUCGAAAAAAAUGAGGUUUUUGAAAAUCUAAUUUGGUUAUCUUAUAUCUACAUCUAGUCUGUAGGUUAUAUCAUAUCAUUCUAGUUAGAUCAGAUUCCUUGUUAGUUUCUUCAAGAGGAUUGUUUCUUGAAGAAAUCAACAAUUUCUUUUUGAAUUUAUAUCGGAUUCAUUCUCCGAGGUCUUCUUACAGCUAGAGCUGGCAAACAGGUCGUUUUUAUGGGUUACGGGUCGUGUUCGGGUCAACUCAUUUUCUUAACGGGUUGACACGAACAUGACCCGUUAAACUAACGAGUCAUAAAUACUAGACCCAAACACGACCCGCACAAAUUCGCGAAUAACACGACACGACCCGUUAUGGCUAAUGGGUCGUUUUUCACCCGUUUUCACCGAUUUAAAAAAUAAACAAUAUUUUUCAAAAAAUCAUUAAAUGAAAACACCUCAAAUUAAUAAAACAAAGAAAAUAGGAAAGUAGAAAAUGCUGAAGUUGGGAUUUUGGCUCAGCAUGUUUAUGGGUUUAAGCCAAUUCCUAGAGGAUCAUCAAAUUCUGUAGAGAUUGAAACAGAUAGAGAAAAUGCUGCAUCACUUGCCAGAGCUGGAAACAGAUUGUUCCAGAUUUUAGGAGAAGAAUACUCCGAAGUUCAUGUUUUAAAAUCAAAAGUGCUGAAUGGAAUCAGAAAAGCAAAAUUGACAUAGAAUAUGGAUUGGAGGAGAGCAUUGACUUGGAUGAUAAUGACAAGAAGUCCCUGCUUUCCCGUCAGAAAGCAAUCCUUCCAACUCACUUUGGUAUUAAUAUAAUGCAUAGAUAACAAUUAAAACUCUCAAAUGACUUGAGAUUUUCAUACCUUUUCGUUGGAGAAGAAGAAGAAAGGUAGUUGAUGCUUGAUAGUUUGGUUUGGAUCUAGAGAGAAAGAGAGAGGACAGAGUGAGUGGCCGCGUGCUCGGACUCGGACAGGAGGGCUCCAAUUCAAGGUAGGUUAAUUUUAGAAUUAAAAUUACAAAAAUGCCCUUACUCUUAACGGGUUAACGAGUGAUUCGCGAAUAAUACUGAUCCAACUCGUUAGCUUAACGGGUGACUAACAGGUCCACCUGUUUUCAACCCAACCCAUUAAGCUCAAUCUAAAUGUUGUUAUUUUCGUGCGAAUUCGUGUUGUGUUAACGGGUCGUGUUCGAUAUUGCCGGCUCUACUUACAACACUUGUUCUUUCAAUUUCAGUUGUAUUUCAAGGUUGCUGGUUUACAAACACAGGGUUUUUGCUCUGGGUUCCUAGGUUUGUUCCAAAGGGUUGUGUUGUCCAUUAUGUUUUUCAAGAUCGCUGGUUUACCAACAUGGGGUUUUUGCAAUUGUACACUUUUAUCGUACCUAUUAUGCAAAUGAAAUGUACUUGUUAGCUUUUAGUAAGUGGUAUAAAUAGUUGUUAUAUAUAUACUGUUCAUACCUUACAACUAAGUUGAUUUCUAUGACAUUGUAUUAACAAUGUGCUUCUAUGACAUAGUAUUAACAAAUUUUCAGUAACAAAACAUACUCUAUAUAUAGCUGUGCACUUGAAGUUUAUGAUAUGCAGAAUGUGAUUUUUACUAGAAAGAUAGUUCUAUAACAUAGUAUUAACAGUGUACUUUUAUGUUUAUUUUUUUGUAGAGGUAUUUCUUUUUGCCUUUGCGAUUGUUUCUGGUGAAACAAUGGACAAUUGGAGGUGAUUUUUGAAAAGGAUAUCGGAUGUCUUGCUAGUUUUUUUUUGAGUUUUUUUAAUGAUGGUAUGAACAAUGUUUUUCUAUGAAAUGAUAUUAACAUUGUACUUCUAUGACAUAAUAUUAACAAUGUAUUUCUAUGACUUGGAAUUAAUAAUGUACUUCUAUGACAUGGUAUUAACAAUGUACUUCGAGCUCGUUGAGCUUUUUUUGUGUGUCAAAUAUGGGCUGGGCUUACUGGGCUUUUUUUUUUUUUUUUUUUUUUUGGGUUGAGUUUUUUGUAUUGGGCUUGUUUUAAGUUAAUCAAUGGCAAAGAUGUAAUUUAUAGGAACUUCAACACUCAUUUUUUAGGUAGUAAAUGGUUUUUGGGUAUGUUUCUAAAGUGUAUUCCAUAUAGGUUUUUUUUAUAUUUUAAAAUAAUAAUAAUUUCAGGUCCUAUUUUAGAUAUAUUACUAAAUCUCCCUAAAAAAUAAUGUACCUACUUUUAAAAUAAUUUACUGAUACAAUCUAAUUAAAUUAGCAUACCUAUUUUUUUAAAAUAACAUAUAGGUAAAUUAGUAUGAUAUUUUUGAACUAGUAUACCUACAAAAUAUAAGUAAAAUAGUACGUGAAUUUUGUACUUAGUAUAGCUGCAAAAUAUAGGUAAGUAUACCUACAAAUUACUAUAGAUACAUUAGUGGGAUCUUUUGUACGCAGUAAGUGUAUUCUGAUCUUAUUUCUGUAGGUGUAUUGCUAUUGCUUGUAUAUGUAAUUAAUGCUUACGUCUUUUACAAAUUUCAUGGUUGGCAUUAGUAUUGAUUAGGGGUGGCAUUUUAGACCCAAAAACUAAAAGACCGCAAAAACCAACCGACAUUUAACCGUAAUCGCAGGAAAUCGAAUCACAUUUGCGGUACGAAGAAGUUAACCGCAUUUGCGGUUGCAGUUGUGGUAUUUGAUUUUCACAACUUGCAGUUACCGCAAACCGCGACUAUAGUUUUUAAAAAAUAAAAAUUGCAUUUUAAUGUUUAAUCGUAGCCGUUGUAUAACAAGACCACUUAUCUUGUAAGUAAUUAGUUUAUUUAUGUUUUUUCUUAUAAUAAAAUGUACUAAACUUAUGUUGUUUUAUUUGUAGAUAGCAUUGAUGCUCAAACAACACAAUGGGGUCCUUCAAAUCCACUCACCACCACCAACACUUGAGUUUGUAACAUUGGGGCAUUGCAUUUUCCUUUUAGUUUGUAACUUUAAUUAACUUUGAAUUGGAUUUUUCCUUUGGGUUGUAAAUUUAAUUCAUUUUGCAUUGCAUUUUCCUUUUGGUUUGUAACUUUAAAGGAUUUGGAAUUGGAAUGCUUGAGAAGUUUAACUUUAAUUGGAAUGCUUGGAAUUGUAACUUUAAUUUUCUUUAGGUUGUGAAUGCUUGAGAAGUUGAGGAGGUUGUGAAUUUAUAUAUGCUUGAGAAGUUGAGGUUAUGAAUUUAUAUUUUUGGGUUAAAGUAUGCUUGAACUCAAAAGGCUUCAAAAAAAAGCAUCAAAACUAGGCCUAAAAUGUGGAAGAUUGGAUUUUUAUGACACCAAAAAAACUUGCGGUUUUAAAUCGCUACUUCACGGUAACCGACGAUAAACCGCAAAAAAAGGUCGGUUUGCGGUUUCAAAAAUCAUCAUACCGCAAAUAGUUGGUCGGUUUGUGGUUUGAACAAAAAUUCGCAGUUAUCGAACCGCAACCACCCCUAGUAUUGAUUAAGUCCAUUACUUUUUUUUUUUUUUUUUUUGCAAUUGCUAAUAAUUUACAUUCAUUACUAAUUAAGAUGGUAAAAAUUUAGGUUUUAAUACCAUAUAUAGUUGGAUGGCAUCAAUUGUAAAAUAGUUAAAAAUAAUAGGAUAGCCUAUUUUAAAUUUGGGUUUUGGUUGGAGAUUAUAAAAUGGGUGGGUUAUUGUUUAGAAUAUAUGAGUUAUACGGGCUUUUCACCUAACAUCUCUUUAAAUUAUAAGACUAUUUGGUUAUUAAUUUUGUUUAAAACUUUUAGUCUUUUAAAAUUACACCUCUAUUGAAAAAUUCUUGAAUUUGUCAGUGCCUACGGCAGCAGCUCCGAUUCCAGGCAAGCGCUGCCUUUGCUACCUUUCCCACUGUGGGGUCUUUUGGUGGCUCCCUUUUGUCUUCCUUUGCCUAUUGCUUGCAAUACUAAGCUCUUUAUUACGUUGUACCGGGAAAUGUGAUUAUGGAAAUGAAGUAUAUGUGUACCUAGAAAGAAAAAUCAUGGACUGUAUCUUUAUUUUGGAUUCAAUCACACCAAUCACCCUUGACGGUAUCUUUAUUUUGCUUUUCAUAAUAUUUCUUGCUUUUACUCUUUAUUAAUAGAUUCAGCUGGCUGGUGGAAUUUAGACUUACUUUCUGCAGUUUUUUUUGGAAAGAAGAGGUUGUUGCUAUUCUGUCAAUUCCUUUGAUACCAAACUGAUCAGAUAAGCUAAUCUGGCAUUAUACUGUGACUGGGAAGUAUAGUGUUAAAAGUGGUUAUUGGUUAUCUCAAAGUAUAAUCUCGAGACAACAGGGAGAUGUAAGUAGGUCAGCUAAUUCAGUGAAUUUGUUAUGGUCGUCCAUCUGGUUAUUGCGAGUUCCUAAUAAAUUGAAUGUAUUUUUAUGAAGAGCGGUACAUGAUAUUAUUUCAUAUAAGGUGAACCUUUUUAAGCAUCAAAUUAUUCAUGAUUCAUUAUGUUUUAGAUGCUCUCAACAGUCUGAAACUAUAGUACAUGCUCUCUAGUUUUGUCGAUUGUCAAGGGAGGUUCGGCAGCAUUCACCUAUUCAUGACUUGACAGUUCCCCUGCAGGUUGGUACUUUUAAGGAGUUAUAUCGAUAUGUUUCCUCGGUUUUGACUAAUGACGAGCUAGUCUUCUUUGUUUUUUUGAGUUGGGGAUGUAAUGAUCUUUUACAUUCUGGUCAAAUUACUUCAUAUCUUAAUUUGUUGGCUCGUACCCGAAAGCUUGUUUUGAAAUAUCAACGGGCUAUUAUUUUAAUGUCUUCUCAUGUUCCGGCAACUAAUAUUGUGCGGUAUUGGUCUCCACCUAAUGAUAAUUUUGUGAAGAUAAAUGUUGAUGGUGCUGUCAAUUUGCUUAUUGGUUUUAGAGGUUUGGGGGUUUUCAUACGAGAUAGUAUGGGUGAUUUAAUGCUAGCCGCCUAUAAAGGUCUUCAUGGCAUGUUUUCUCCUAAAGCUACUGAACUUUACGCAGCAAUUAUGAGAUUACUGAUUGCAGGUCAAAUGGGACAUCGUUCUGUCAUUUUGGAAAUGGAUGCCAAAGAGAUUAUUAUGAAUCUUCAAACUUAUGAGCAAAGUUGGUCGGCGGAGGGUGCUUUAGUGUAUGAAGUCCGGAGCUUUUUUAAUAGUUUUGAUCAUAUUUCUUGUUACUUUGCUCCUCGGGACUUGGAAGUGUAACCAAGUUGCUCAUCUAUUGGCUAAGCAGGCGCUCCUGUCUCAGGACUUUCAAGUGUGGUUAGAGGAUGGUCCUUUAUGAAUUUAUAAUGUUUUGGCCAAUGACAAAUUAUUUACUUAAUUUAAUUUUAUACUAGAUGUGAUAUAGUGGUACUCUUUUUCCUUGACCGGAUUUUUCUCCAUUUGGGGGUUUUUAAAGGCAAGGUUUUAAUGAGGUCACACUUGUUACAUUACUAAAGUCCAGUGUUAUUUUUGUACUCUAACAUUGUUGUUUCAAUGAAAUUAUCUCACUUUGAUAAAUAUAAAAAUUAAAAUUAAAAUUAAAAUCCUAAAUGUGCAAAGUCCUAAAGUGACCCUAUUUCGAAACCUUUCAGUUUCAUGGUGAGGAUCAAAGUGUUGUCCUAAACUGACCCUAAUACAAGUAUCAAAUAUCGAGAACUUAAAAUGUAAUACAAAAAGAAAAGAACAACAUUGCUUUCGACCAAUUCCAAAAUAGUCAUCUUGCACUCCUUAACGGAAAAAAGAUAUCAGAGAAAGAUGAGUGAAUGAUGACUAUUUUGGAAUACUAAUAACAAUAAAUCCUUUAAUAUUUUCUAAGUCUUAAAAUAAAUCUCAUCGUAACCCAAUAUUAUCCAAAUAUGAUGAUUGUUUGAUAUGGUUCGAUACAAGUUCAAUUCAAUAAUUUGAAUAGGAUUAGAAUACGAUAAUCUGCUUAUAAUGGGAUUCAAAUUUGGAUAUAUAGGCUUAUUUGUUGAUAGUUGAGUCAUGACCAGUUUUGUGUUUCCCAAAUAUCAAGGAAUGCUUAGUUGCGUCAUAAAUCUUUAUCCCCUUCUCUCUCUCUCUCUCUCCCUCCCUCCUUCUUCUUCUUCUUUUUUUAUGAAUCCAUACAGUUGUUUAUGCUUGUGUCCAUAUACUAGCCUAAGUGUUACGAAACCAUACAACUGUUUCUACUUGUAUCCAUAUAGCAGCAGCAUGGUAGAUCUAACCAACCCCAUAAAACUAGAGAAAUUGUAAAAACGUUUGGCCCAAAAAGAAGUAAGAAUGUGUAAAAACGAGAUUGAUUUGGAUACGUUUCAUACCACACGAAUAAAAAAAAUAAAAAACAAGUGUUAACAAAAUUCCUGAUGACAUGCAAAACCAGACACGUAAAGACCUAUUCCUAAGUAAUAGCACAACUGAAGACAAGUGUUUCAUUCUAAAAAUAACCAAAGUGCUCCCUAUAAACCUCUCCAGUAUUUCCUCACUAUUCCUCACACUUACAACAACUAGAUCAAAGCAGAGCUGUAAACAAACAACUUCUUCCAUAUUCGUCUCCAGGAACUCUAGAUUUAUUUUCACUUCAAAGUUCACAGUCAACAAUUAUCAAUAUUCAACAUGGACAUGAAGAAGAUCUCAAUUGCCAUCAUCUUCAUUGCUGCCUUGAUGGGUGUUGUCUUGGCAGCUGAGAAGAAGGAAUCCCCCAAGGCCGCUGCCCCCAAGGCUGCUACCCCUGCCCCGGCAAGCGGCGCCACCGCCACCACCUUUUCGGUUGUUGGGUCUUUGGUUGGUGCCUUAAUUUUUGCUUUCUUUGGCUAUUACCUUCAGUAAUGGUUCAGAUCAGAGAAUAAGUCAUUCUUGUAAGGGAAAUUAGGAAAAUGAGAUUCAUGAGAUCGUGAUGGAUUAUUUACAAGAGAAGAAAGGAUCACGUUUAUUUCAUGUAUUUUGACUAGCUAUGCUAGUUUCGUUAAUUGAAUUGCCUCUAUUCUUUUAAUUGAAUUGCCAAUCUUAUUGAAAACAAAAGUGAUUAUUGUCCAAAAAGAAAUUCUAAUUUGGGUCAAGUGGUAUCAAAGCAUCAGGUGAUUUAUGGUCUUAACUCGUGGCCCAAAAACUUGUAGGUCCUUGGCCUUUGGAUACAUUUCAAUUGAAAAUAAAAAUAAAAAUUGAGGAUCAAGUCGUGAGAUCCUAA
RNAcentral lists this long non-coding RNA (70232 nucleotides) under Prunus persica (peach). RNAcentral's name for it is "long non-coding RNA (PPER_LNC007286)". The record is from RNAcentral. Lineage: Eukaryota; Viridiplantae; Streptophyta; Magnoliopsida; Rosales; Rosaceae.